ACUUUAUGGAUGGGAUUGCAUGAUGGUUUCAUUGAAGUGAAACAACUAAGGCCGAUACAGGGAUUGGUUAUGUGUUACAGUUCAUCAUCAGUGCUGCUUAGUUUUUUCGUUGAGUUUGAAAUUUGAGUAAAAUCAGAUCUUAACUUGCUAUUUCGAUGUUUUAAGAGGACCAAAGUAUUCUUGUAGUCCUAAUAGUUCUAGUAAGGCUCGUUUAAAUUGGGGGUACAGACGGAAAUCAACUGUUUCUGGUCAUCAUUGGAUGCUUUAGAUAUGGAUUGUGUUUGAGUAGCAGUUACAGGUUGGGACUAUGAUCUUUUGUGUCAAGGUUCUAUGAAAUCACUUUAUAAUUUUUUUUACUAACAAAAGCUGCUGUAACUUCUUUUAUUCAAGAUCAUUUUUUGAUAAAAAUCAAGAUGGUAUAUAUAUUUCAUACAGGUUGGUCUCCUUAUCUUGCAAAAUGCUUUCAACCAACACUAUUUCAUGUAGGUUUUGUAACUCUGCACUAAUGAUUAUUUCAUUGUGAAGACCAACAAGCCUAUAUAAGCCUUUUUGAGUAAAUUCCCAACUGGUCGGUAGACUUGUUGUGGCCAAAGCCAAUAGCUGUGCUGCUGUUUAAACCAUCAAUAUUAGUAUUUAAAACAAGAAGAAUCAUUUCAUAUCUUGAACAAGUGAUUGUGAAAAGAAGCUGGAGGGUUGAAUUACUUGUAGUGAUGAUUAGGAAAUUUUUACAUUCAUGACUUUAUCCUUCUUCUCUUAUAGGAAAUAACAAAUAUCAUAUGAGAUAUCUUAUUUUUUAGCUUUAUACCCAAUACUGCAGGACCCUCAUCUAAUACAUUCAUGGAAGUUGUCAAAACAGUUCUUAUGCAAGCUUCAGCAACUAAUGAACGUGUUGCUAUAAGAGCCGAACAGAAGAGUUAUGGCUAUCUUCAACUCGGUGCAUCUGCAUUGAACGUUUCCAACUUAUUGCACAACAAAUAUGUUAAAGUAAGUUUAAUUUUCAUGCACACAAAAACACAUAUAUUGCCACCUAUAUCUGUGUCUGAUUUCAUAGAUGCUUUCCUUUUGCAGCUCUAAGUUAUCUGUAGUAUUUCUAUUAAGCUAACAUGGACCAGAUCAAAAUCCAAUGUAAUUGUUCCUAAAGUUUAUGCUCACAGACACACAUAUAUUGCCACCUAUAUCUGUGUCUAAUUUUUUAGAUGCUUUCCUUUUGUAGCUCUAAGUUAUCUGUAGUAUUUACAUUAAGCUAAUAUGGACCAGAUCAAAAUGCAGUGUAAUUAUUCCUUGCAGGUGGCAUAAUUGGUACAUAUUACUACCACUUAUAUAAAUGAUAACUUAUUUUAUAUAUNNNNNNNNNNNNNNNNNNNNNNNNNNNNNNNAUAUAUAUAUUGUAUUUAUGAACCUUCUGCUUGCCAUCCCAUGCUAUGUAGAUGUUGAAGAUUUACUGUCAAAUACUUUGCAUAUGUAUAUAAGAUAUUAUGGAUGUGCUGUUUGUAUACAAAUUUUAUGAAAAUCUGUUCCCUCGCCCCCAUAGCCCUCAUAAAAGGAAUAUUGACUCGAUACCUAUAACCAACAAGCCUUACCUAACAAUCAAUUUGCCUUUAUCUAUUACUCUUUAGCAUUCAUUUAUAUUGAGAGCUACAUCCUAUCUAAAACAAGCUUUUCCGAAUCAUAUUUUGCUGUGACACUAGUUACCUGGGUUUUCCUCUUUCCUGCGGUCCCUUCUUCACUACCUUAGCAUGUCUCCUUACUAGGGUCUCCUUGUAUUUUUCUCAACAUACAUGUACAUGCCAGCGUGGUUUGUGAUUCAUCACUAUCCAUAGUUCAUGCAGCUGCAACAUUACCUGUAUCAUAUUCAUUGAUGACUCAUCCACCACAGCUUUCUCACAUCUCUGAGACUCCAUGUAAAUGCAUGGACCCUGUUUAUGUUGGCCAACAUUCUGUGGCAUAGAACAUGAUUGCUAUUUUUAAGUAAUAUUUCUGCAAAUCUCAAAUGCUUGUGGCCAUCACACAAGAUCCUGGAAGCACUUUUGCAUUCUAUUCCCCCUGCAUUUAAUAUUUUUAGAUAUCUCAUCAGUUCUCGCUGUAUCUUUAAUCUUCUAGAGCAUUCAACAAACUUUGCAUGUUGUUGGAGUUCAGCUAAAACACAAGGUGGAAACGUAAUGCUAAAUAUACGGUUAAAGGCUUAUAGGACAUUGAUAAUGCUUUACAAUGUACUUGUGUUUAAUCCAAAACUUUUUGAUCAAAUGAUUUUUCAAAUUAUGCAGAUACUCAAGGGGUGCAUUAAUUAAUACUCUUAUGUUCAGGGCACCAAUGGAAUGAGAUACCUUGAUGGAGCUCGGGUAGGAAUUGUGGCUAAACCUUCUGCUGAAUUUGUUUCUGGGAUUCUAGGAACUUGGCUUUGUGGAGGUGUUGCAGUUCCACUUGCACUGAGCUACCCAGAAGCAGAGCUUUUUCAUGUGAUGAAUGAUUCGGUUUGUCCUAGCACACAUUUGUUUACUCCCCUUGCCAAAUGAGCUUUGUGCUCAAACCUACUUGUGCACUGGAUAUUCUUCUAAUGUUUGCAUUUUUUUCCCCUUCAUUACAUCCAACUUUCAGAUGGAGUGGAAGAAAUCUUUGGCCUUUUUUUUUUUAGGUUUCCAGUUUGAGAUUCUUCGUGAUUAUACAUGUAUUAUUUAUCUUCUUCAGGCUCAGAGAACUGCUGCCAUGAUAUAAUAAAUUGGAUCUAUCAUAUUCACAUCAUUCAGUUAAAAAUUUAAUAUCUCAUUCUGGCAAGAAAAGUACCCAUAUUUUUAUGAGACUUUUUGUUGGAUUCCUGAUCAUAGAUGCUGAUUUGUUGAUUUUUACUAUUUUGGUGGAGGAUGGAUAUCUAGCACUUGCACAACCAUCUUCCUGGUUGGGUUGUAAAAUAAAUAGGGCUAGGAACAAGGUUGCUGGGUGAAAAUCAUAUGGAAGGCUAAAGUUUAAAACAUAUUCCCACCUGCAGUUCAUAUCUCUUCAAAAUUGGCUAUGACCCUGCUGGGCUUGGGUAAAACUACAUUUCUAUCUGGGAAGCAUUCUUGCAAGAGAAAGGGGGGGGGGAUGGAGAUCGAUUUGCAUAUUCAUUAAUCAAAGGUAUAUUGUUAACAGGCUCUGUAACCAUUGCUAACAUAUACCCCCAAAAUGAUUUAGACUUCUAGAUAUAGGCAUGGAUUUUUAUUUUUUUAAUGACCCAUUUUAAAUAUAGCCUUCUCCUAGAAGUGAGCAGAUACCGAAAAUCUUGUGUGAUUUUAUAGUAUUCGGCAACUUUGUUGUUCCCUGAGACAAACAUUACAAAAGCGUACCUUGAGUGUUGCUGAAGUGAAACUAAAUUCAUAUUAUCUCUAUGGUAUGGUUGAGCUGUAUGUUUCUUAGUUGCAUUUCUCUGCAUAUGUGUUCUUGUGGAGUGUAUAUAGUGCAAUAUGCAGAUGCUAAGAUAUCCUUACUUGUAGGACAUUUCCAUGAUUCUGAGCACUCAAGAGCAUCAACAACUUUUGGAGAAUGUGGCUGCUAAAUGUUCUUCUCAUUUAUCUCUUAUUCCUGCCAUCACCAGCAUGGAGCAGUCAGGUAGUGCAGCAGACAACAUGGUUGCCAAGUUGAUUGGGGAAAUCGAGGAUUCAAGAAUAGCUGAAGGUAAUCCAUGUAUGGUUGAUUUCUAGCUGUCAAGCCUCUCCUAUACUCAAUCAUCAGAAAAAUUCAUGUCCAAAUUUCCUAUUAGUAAUUAGACCAUUACAACCUUUCACAGUUAUAAAUCAUUUGGAAAUUAAUAGCAUGCAUUAUAUUUAUCCAAAGUUAUAGAGAGGUUUACCCUAAUUAUAUUUAACUUUACAUUUGAAUCUAUGAAGUUGUGAUAUUUUUUCUACCAUUUUUAUGUAAGUAUAUAUAAGAAGCAUUGACAGAAGAACUGAAUCUUCUUAGAUAUAAGCAGCUUCAUUUAACAUACCCUUAUUUUUCAUAAGAUUAACUAUAAAUUCAACCUCAUAGUGCUCCAUUUGUUGGGUGAACUGUUACCCUUCAUUGAUUCAUGUCAAAUCACAAAAUGAUGUACCUUAAUGUUUUAUAAUCAAAUCAGGCAUGAACGAUAAACCAAAAGAAUAUUCAUGAUAGCCACCAUGCUCUUUACUGUCUGUAAUUUCUUGACAGACAAAAAAAGAAAAUGGUAACUAUAUUUGAAUCCCAGUAUAUUUUGCUUCCAUAUUACUAGCUAUUCAUGAAUUUUACUAUGACUGCAAUUCUUAUUAUGCAGGAGAUGACCCUGCUCUGAUUCUUUAUACGAGUGGUACAACUGGUAAACCAAAAGGUGUAGUGCACACAUACAAAAGCAUAAUUUCUCAGGUAAACAUCUGGAUCCUGCUUGCACUUUGACUAGUUAGGGACCCAAAUGUUUCCUCGUGCCUUUGUGUUUGUUCUGCUUCUUUGUGGUAUGCACAGCUUUCUGUAAUAUAGAAUUGGUAUGAAUUAGGCUUUUCUUGUUUCAGUGGAAUGAGAAUUGCGAAAGAUUGAAUGGUUUUACAGAUUGUGUGAAAAAAGAUUUGCCAUGUGAUGUUACCCCUGUUUUUGGCUUGCUUUCAGGUCCAAAUUCUGACAGAGGUAUGGGAAUAUACAUGUUCGGAUCGGCUUCUUCAUUGUCUACCCUUACACCAUAUCCACCAAGAAUGCAAUUUAAUUAGUUGAUGUAAGGCUAGGUACUUAAGUUUGUGAAGUAAUAAAUAUUAAAAUAUUUAUUGGAUUAUUGCAAUUAUUCAUUUUUUUUAAUGAGUUGAAAUCCUUAACCGCCGGUUUACAUGUGCAUGGUCUCUUUAAUGCCUUACUUGCACCUCUUUAUGCGGGAGCUGUGGUAAUUAAUCUGACUUUUUGAUAAAUAGUCUUUACAGAAUAACAUGGUUUUUUCCGUUAGAAGAUAAAUGUUGCUUGGAGAUUUAGUUCAUUGCAGUUGUUUGAACUAUCCUUUCUGGAUUUUCUGAUUUCUAUUAGUCAAACAUUUGUUGUGAAGUUACAUCAUAAAAAACAGUUCAGUACAUAGGUUUAAUCAGAUAAAGUUUUAUGAUGCAGUGUUUUCAUCUUUGAUGUCUAUGUUCUGCUGGUGUUUAUUGCAGGUUGAGUUCAUGCCAAAGUUUAGUGUUCAUGGUGUGUGGCAGAGGUGGCAGGAAUCAUACCCAAAAGAUGGAAGUAUAGCAGAUGAUGCUAUUACUUUGUUUACAGGAGUAAGCUCCCCAUUUUGCUAAUAAAUAAGAUUUCUGUUCCUAGAAUGCUGGAUGAAAUUCUUGCCUGUUUCCCUGCCUUAGUUACUGUUUGCUUCGACUAUUGAAAGUGUGAAACAAUCCUAAAUUAAGAGAUUAAGUCAUUUCUUAGUCGAUAAAGAAGGCCAAAACAUAAUGGGAAGUCAUAAAUGGACUGCCUUUAGAUGCAGUAAUCGCCCUAAUGCCACAACUGAUUACCUCUUAAAGAAUUUACUUAUAGUGGACCUUGUAUCCUGGUAAGGUUCACUGCAUAAAAGGUUUUCCCCAAAUGCUUGAGUUAUGAAAGAUAAUAUCAAAAGGUGGUCCUAUGGAAAUGAUGUAAUCUCUAAUAUGUGACCUGUGAGUUCCAUUAUAAUCUCUUUGAGUUUGCAUAUUUUACCAUUAAUGAAUUUUGGUGACUUUAUUUUAAAGAUAUAUUACCAACUCGAUGUUGAAUCAAUUUGAGAGUUUCUGUGUUUUUCUAGGUUCCAACGAUGUAUACUCGACUGCUACAAGGCUAUGAAAAAAUGGACCUAGAUCUACAAGUAGCUUCUGCUUCUGCUGCAAGUAAAUUACGUCUCAUGGUAACUGAAGUGCUCAUCCUCUCUUAACUUCUCAAAUGAUGUGCAUGUAUGAAGCUUGGCACAGUGUAGUUGUUUUAGUCUAUGUUAUUUAUAAUACUUGUUGCAUAUUGGGUGCCAGCAAAUUAUUACUGCUUUUAAGGAUUUAAGGCUAGAUUCAAAAUGCUAUUUAAGUAGCUUUAGUACUCUGUUCUAUAGGAUGUGGUUGUACUUCAAUGUAGUGACUGAUAAUUAGAUUGUACUAUUUAAUAUGUAAAAACAUAUGCUUACACAUGUAUAUAUGUAGUUCAAAAUAGGCAUAAAAUUUGAUGGAUUAUAAUAAGGAUUUUGCUAUGGCACACUUCUAAUCAUGGUUCAUGGUUCACCGUUCACCGUACCGGCCUGUACCAGACGGUACGAGGCCCAGUUCGGUACUGGUAUACAGUACGGGAGGCAUACUGAUAUUCGGUACGUCGAACAUGUCCGUUUUGUACCAUACUGAUACAGUGCUUGCGUGGCAUCGUAUAGGGUUCGGUACCGAGAUGGCAAAUCUUGCUUCUAAUAUAAUCAUUUGUACCAAAGGAGAGAUCUUAGCCAUUGAUGCAUCAAGGGUAGAAAAGUGAACUCAUCAGUAACCGGUUGACAACUACUUGCUCAUAUUUUUUUAUAAAAAAUUGAUAAUAAAAAAUUCUUCAAAGUUCAAACUAUCUUUUGUCUCUCUCUUUCGGUGAUAUCAUGGCUAUCAAGGAUUGCUAUACUGGAAUCGGGGUUCGGCGACAUGGGUCGGUACGCCGCUGUGCCAUUCUGUGCUGGGUCUGUACUGACAUAGUAGAGGAGGUGGGGGAGAGGGAGAACUAGAGAGAGGAAGAGAGAGAGAAGAGGGAGAGAGGGAGGGAGGGAGAAAGAGGGUGGCAGAUAUCUGACGGAGCUGGUGGAGGGCAGGGGAGCCGCACGAAGGGUGGAGGGGCUCCGCCUUUGGUUUUCUUGUUUCGUUGAAAACAGAGGUCCCGGAGGGCACCCGUUUUUAUUUUUGAAAAUUUUAAGCGAAUUUAGCAAACUCCUUGCCGACUUCACUUAGGAUUUUCAAAAAUAAAAGGGGCCUCCUCAAGGACCCCUGUUUCGAACGAAAUAGAGGAACCGGAGGAGGAGCCCCUUCGCGUGGUUCCCUAGCCCUCCAUCGGCCGGCCGCCGCCCUCCCUUUCCUACUCUCUUUUUUCCUCUCUUUUCUUUUUCUUCUCUUCCUCCGUCCCGAUUUCUCGUUUUUGUUGAACUAUAUUAGUCCGCCGUCGGUACGGCUCGGUACGCUUUAAAUCGGGCGGUUCGGGACGGUUCUGCUAACCAUGGUGGCUAUGGUCCCAUCGCCGCUCUAAGCAUGAUGAGGGUAGGGAGAUCCAACAUGAUCUCUGAUUUUUUUUUGGGGGGGGGGGUGAGGGAUUGUAAGUAGCUGUUGUCUGGAAUGGUUGGAUAGCUGCGGAGGGAGAUUGAUAGGUAACGUCCAUCAGUGGUGGUGGAGGAAGAGGAGAAGGUGCUGGAGAGGUCCUCGGUAUACUCUUCUAGCGCCUCCUCGUCAGCAUCAGCAGUGGCGAGGAGUGGAAGAUUUCUUCAAAGGAGGUGGCGGUGGUGGCCGAUGGCAAGGUGGGGAAGGGUUUGGAACAUGGUAUGCUGUACUAGCCCGAACCGGAUAAUACGGAGCGUACGGUACCGUACCGAUUCGAUACUAAUAUUUGGUAUGGAUAUCAUACCGUACCGAUACUAUGCUAAUGUAUACUUGUACGGGAUCCUGUACCGAGACGACAAACUUUGGUUUGGAAGAGAGUCCACGUGAGGGGAGCACCUGACAACAACUGAAAUUGGUGGUGAUUACGUAAUUGUACAUUUGACAAGGAGCCCUAUAGCAUUUCCCUUGUAAUAAAUACCUUAACUAUGACCAACAAGUCUUAUUCUAUCUAUUUGGAGUUAAGCUUUAGGGUCAAGUUGUGUUCCUCUGAAGUUUGAGAAUGCCAUGGUACAUUUGCAACCAGACUGAGUCUCUUGAUUGUGCUGUUUUCUUGGCAUAGGCAAGUUUGCUGGAAGGUUGGAUGGCAGAUCGGUAGCCUACCUUGCUAGUAAUGCUGCUUAAGCGUAUCCAUUUGGGAGCUAUGCUUUAAGGUUAGACUUGGAAAGAGUUAAAACAAAGAGAGAAGAUGCAUGGUUUGCUAUUGGAGUUUGCAUUCAUUUUUACAACACAAAUUUAUAAAUCAAAGAGCCAUAUUCCGUCAAACUAAAUGAAUAAUAAUCUAAACUUGUUUUAGUGAGCUUUCAAAGUUAAUGCUUUUAUUUUGAUUCAACUUACUAUAUUGUGACUAUCACGAAUAUUAAACAGUGUGUGAUUGCUUUAAUUAAAUAGUUCAAGAGGAAAAGUUCCUUUUUAUUUAAUUAUUUGUUAUUUAGUAAAGUUUAAUAUGAAACAACCAAAAUUAAGAGCUACUUUUAUCAUUAUUCUGUGUGUAGGUACAUAAAGGAACAGGCAAUAACCAGUUUUCAUUUUAUUUGAAUGGAAAUCCUUAAUUUUUGACAUACAAUCCUUGUUUUGGUUGUCUGAGGUUUGGUUUAUGGAUCAAAGUAUGACUCAUUACAGUGCAACUUCAUGGCACACAUCAAGAUUCCAAGAUUCCCCUAGAUUUGGAAAUACUAAAAUAGUUUAGACGGAGGAAGAAAGGCAAGGUAGGUUUUCCUUAUCUACCAACAGAAUUAUGCCUUUUCCUUCAAAAGUGCAAACAUAUAAUUGAAAUUGCCGAGUGCCGACUUUUCUCUAGGACUGUGUUGCUGAAGAAAGAAAGAAGAAAAAGGUUCUGUUCAAAUGGACUGGCAUAGAUCUUAACAUUGAUUAAUUCUUACACUAUUUUGUUCUUAUUUUCUUUUCUUUCUAAUUAUUAAAUGUUAGCUUCUAUUUUCUUCAAAGUAAGAUGGAGCUAACAAUAGAAUCUUAUGAUUGUAUUUUCUGGAACUAUAAGCAUGAGACAUCUGAAAAGUGACAGCUCUAAGAACCUUGAAACUCUUAAUCUGAAUGCUUACUCAAUUUGAGAUUGCUUCGACACCAUCUGAAUCUCUGUCUUGUAGAUCUUCUGUAGCUAUAUCAAAAUGCAGCAGUAAUUUUUCUUGAAAUUUCAGCUCUUUGAAUGUUCUGUCUUUUGACUUAAUUGGAAACAAACCUGUUGUCUUUUAACGAUAAAUGGAUAAAUUUCAUUAUUAAUGUAAGUAUUACACCCCCCACCCCCGCCUUUUUUUUCUAGAUGUGUGGGUCAUCAGCACUUCCAUAUCCAGUCCUGAAACAGUGGGAAGAAAUAACAGGUCAUCGUCUUUUGGAGCGUUAUGGCAUGACUGAGGUCAGUAUCAUUGGUUAUGUAAUCUGAAUUCAAAUUUUAACUAUUUGGCUAAGCUGUUGGAUGUACCAAGUUAACACAUAACACAUGCCUUAUCUUGUCCUACAUAUUUAAACUUUGGUCAUAUAUUCUUUACUGAUGACAUGAUGAUUUACAGUUUUUCAUGGCAUUAUCCAAUCCCUUGCAUGGUAUUCGGAAGGGAGGCACAGUUGGCAAAGCUCUUCCUCGAGUAGAGGUAUGUUGAUUACUUUCUGGGGCAUCUCUUAUUUCAGUUCUCAUUCAGAGGUCUUCAUCAUUACAGUUCACAAUUGCAGAUUUUUUGUUGUAUCAGCCAUGCUUUUUAUUUUGCUAACUUAAUGCUCUCAACUUUGAAAAAUUUUGAGCUUGUAAGUCUUGCAUGCAUGCAGUCAGGCNNNNNNNNNNNNNNNNNNNNNNNNNNNNNNNNNNNNNNNNNNNNNNNNNNNNNNNNNNNNNNNNNNNCCUGUCCCAGUCUGAUUAUCAAACCUAGAGCCGUUUGUGAGUUCUUUUAUGUCGACUGUGAAACCGACACCUUUGAUGUUGUAGUUGAAUCCUUUGUUGGUCAUUGACUUUUGGUGUCAUCUUGAUGUGAAGUAGUUAGAUCACGAAUUCACCCUGCUCUGUAACAUCCUUUAUGUAACUUCUUAAUACUCUUCCUCCCCCCCCCCCUCUUCCCCUGGUACAUUCUUUUGGUUAUACAGUCCCUUGUUUUUUCUUCACUCAGUAUUGUUUGCCACAUGUUUUCUGAAUAGUCAAUAAUAUGGGAUAAUUCCAGAUCUCUGUUUAUUAAUGUGCAGGUAUCUUUAGCUACAUGUAACAUGCUGAAUGGUUAUUGCAUGGAUUUCAAAUUAACUAUUUUUUCCACCGUUAUUAAAAUCUUAUUCCCUAUUGAAUCUUUCAGAUUCUAGAUAAUAUAUCUAAAACGCUCGGUGCUAUCUCCCUGGAUUUGUGCUCAGGUCAAGAUUAUUCCAGAAGAUGGGAGUGCAACUGGAACAACCGAAGUGGGUGAGCUUUGUGUUAGAAGUCCUUCACUGUUUAAGGAAUACUGGAAGCAGCCUAAGGUAUUUAGACACAUACAUGUAAUCCUUUAGUGUUGUAUUUAUGAAUAGGGACUUCCAGUAGCAGUACUGACACAAUGAAAAAAAAUGCUCAUGUGACUGUUGAAAGCCAAAUAAAAAUUGACAUCCCCUUACCAAGAAAAAACUAAUGAAUGUUCAUCCAGUUCAUAGAUUUAGAUUCCAUAGAUUACUUGUGCAAACUCAAAGAAAGAAUAGAAGAUUACAAUCUAUUAAGCUAUUCACGGACUACAAGAAAAUGGCACCAGAAGCUUCUUUCAAAAUUCUCUUGGCAAGCUCUUAAAGAUUGAUUCUACUUGAGCUUGAAGAGGAUGGAGGAAGGGUAGAUAAGAUAUCGUAAUGUAUGUUGUCGUAUCAUGUAGGUAUAUGACUAUAACUGUUCUUUCAACGAUCCCACUUAAUAUCUGGGGAUUGUGUUUCUUUCUCUUGGUUGUAUAGUAUUUAUUAGUUCCCUGCAGAUGUAUGCAAUUUUGUACGUUAAAACUCGUCUUGUUCCCUCAUGCCGAAAGCUUUCCAACUCCAGCCAAACUCAUUGAUAUAGUGCUGUCAGUUCCUCUCAGAUCCUUGUUUCAUGUGCCACUUGACAGUCAGUGAAAACAAACUUAUCAUACCUUCCAACAAAGUUCGUUACUCCUAGAUUCCUGCUACCAUUUAAGGUUGGAGUUCUAAGGUGUUGCCUGCAAUAGUGAUUUUUGUUUCACUGCCACACAACAGUUGCUCCGUAAGUUGCAAACUGCAAUAUAGGCCUGAGGUUGCGUACCUCUACUAGAUGACAGGAGUUUCUGAAUUUGAACUUUGGUCCUUUCCUGAAGUGUUUGAUCCAGGUAACUCUAAUUGGUCGUACUCCUAUGGUUAUUUAGAGAAAAAGGUUUGCAAAAUCUUGUGUUUUCUUGUAGUAAAACUCUUAUGUGGUCAUGUUAUGACAUUACAGAAAUCCUCUGUAAUUUUCUUUGUAUGAUUGCAACCUGUGGUUGUGAGCUAAUUCGAUGGGAUUAAGAAAUUCCAAACUCACAUAAGUUGGACUUGUUUUCAAAGAUGUGAUUUAGGCUUUGGAAUAAUAAGCAAUAGUUUUUUAGGGUUUUUUUUGCUAUUUUAUUCACUUUCUUUUUUGCCCUUUUGCCAUUUUUGGUUUUAGAUAACAAAGGAAUCAUUUAUUGAUGGUGGAUUUUUCAAGACUGGCGAUACAGUUAUGGUGGAUGAGGACGGAUACUAUAUAAUCUUGGGACGUAAGAAAAAUAUAUUCCCAUGUAUUUAACAUCAUUUUCAAUUUAUUGUUCUGCUUGUUUAUGGUUCACACUUCUGCUUGUGGCAGCAUGCCUAACAGAAUGGAAGAACAAGUAUGUUACAGAUUUGUAGCUGCAAUGUCCUAUAAAUCUUGCUUAGCAUUUCUAUUGAAAAAAAUCUGCAACACUAUUUUCCAGUAUAUCACUAUUGAUUUUUGUUUUUCAGAGGUGAUUACACUGUAAAGCUGAAUUCAAAAGCAUUCUAUCUGUGUUCUUGAAGCUUGGAAGAACCAUGUGACUCUUCCUUGUGGAUUAUCCAACAACAUGUUUUGUGCUUAAAAUUUAGAGAGUUUACACAAAAAUGCAUGAAAUUGUUAAAGCUUUAUGCAAAAUGAACCAAAAAAAAACAGUGUAGGUUAUUCAACCUGUGCUGUAAAUGCUUCAUAGGGCAUGGGGGGUUAGCGAUCUAGAUAGACUCUUUGAUGUAUCCCAAAGGGUAAUGGUUACAAGAACUCAAAUUACGAAGCUGGAAAGAGGAAAAGAUUGAUUUUCUGUUUCGUAUAAUCCAAUAUGAUGAUUCAUUUUUCUUUACUAAUCAAUAUUAUUUUUCCUUUUUUUGUUGUGAGAUAAAUCGACAAAAAAUAUGACUUCCAAUCGAUCAAAGUGUUAUCUUUCCUAAUCAAAAUGAUUCCUUACCUGCUAAGAUUUAAAAUCCUGCUUUUGAGGAGUUCUAAAACAUCUAGGAUUCUCUAAACACUUUCCUCACUGCAGCCUUUAAAUACACAAAAUAACUGAAAGUCUAACACAGCUUAUCUGUUCUUAAUCAUGUGAGGAUAGGUACUAAUGUUGCAUUAUUUUUUUCAAACUCUUUUAAUGGAUCUAAUCGUUUUUUAUUAUUCAGUUAAGUAAAUUCUAUACAGUCAUAUAUAUAAUCAUCAUAACUCGUGUGCAUUUUUUUUGGUUUGUGGGGUUGGUGGGGGGGAGGGGGAUGCUUGUGUUUACUGUGUAGCAGGUGUAAUGCAUUUGACUGUUGAAUUAUGGCAUUUGGACCUGCCUAUUUUCACACUUGGUAUUCCAUAGGGCAUUUGAGACCAUUCUUACUAAUUUGUUAGUAAUCAUUGCCUGGCAUAUGGACAUGAUCCAUCUUAGCAUUGUAAAUCCAGUUUCAAAAUUAUUCGAGUCAACGAGCAACAUAAGAUUGUUCUUAUUUAAAAUUUUUAAUGCAUCCAAAAGUGAGGAAACAGAAUACUUUUCUUAGUGUAUGGUAAUGGUGCAUGUUCUGCAUCAAGAAGGUAUAACAAGUGAUCGUUAUCAGAAACUCCCAAAUUGAUAAAAGCCUUGAGUUAGAAUUUUCCGAGGCAUUCUUCGAUGAAGCAUAUCAAAAGCUCUUUCUCCAUUUUUUUCCCUUGUUUUUUGGGCCGAAGCAGGGGUAUGACCCAUCUUGAUUCAGUCUUACAUAAGUACAUCCCACGUCAUCAGCCUGAACAAGUAAAGCUAGCUGAGGACUAUCAAUAUCAGUCCAUGUAAAAUCAGAGGCUCUCUAAAUGGCAUGGUCGGCCAGCUAGUCCGCCUCCUGGUUCCCUUUCUGGUAUUAGAAGCUUUUUUUAAUCAUAUGAUAGUGGUUCGAUCUUAUUCAUGAUUUGGAUGCUUCCAAACCAACUCAAACGUAUGUCCAGAUGUGGUUCAUAAUGUUUACAUGGUAAUCAGUGAUAAAUUUAUGAUUUUAAUUAAUAACCACAAAUUUUGGCACCAUGGCAUGGUUAUCAGAGUUAUAUUUUGGGAAUGAGGAAAUGUGUUUUUUUGAGAAUUUGAUUCGAUGAUAUGUUCUUGUGAUUCUUCAAAAGAUAUAUUACUAUAUUUUUUGUUAAGAUUCAAUUAGUUGAAUGUCAAAGUCUCAUAUUCUUCUACAGUAGAAAAUGAUAACAUCCACCUAUGGGUUUGUACUUCAUCAUUUGUAGGUACGAAUGCUGAUAUCAUGAAAGUUGGUGGUUAUAAGCUCUCAGCACUAGAGAUUGAAGCAGUGCUUUUAGAGGCAAGUACCUCCCAGUUUUGUACUCCAAAUCUUACUUCGAAAAGUAGCCAUUCAUAACAUUCACCCCAUAUUCCUUUCUGUCACAAAUUGUGCAAUAGAUGAUUUCUGUAAUUUACUUGCAGAAACUCUAUUAUAAUUGCAAUUGUUAGAUAUGAAUGAUUAUAGUCUUCUUGACUUUUAGCAUUGUCGAGCGUAACUGGAAAUUUUCAUGCUUGAUACGCUUGAAAGCAAACCAAGGUUUUCUGGAAAAGAUUCUUUUUUCAUUAUAUACUUGAAUAUGAGCAUUAUUAUGUUAUUUUGCAAAUUCAGGCUUGCAGAUCUGUUUAUGGUGGUUGAGAUGAAUGUUGAUUUUAAUCAAAUGCAUUAUAGUCUUCUUGGCUUUUAGCAUUGUCAAGUCUAACUGGAAAUUUUCAUGCUUGAUAUCUUCAAAAUCAAACUGGAGGUUUUCUGGAAAAGAUUCUUUUUUCAUUAUACUUAAAAAUGAGCAUUAUUAUGUUAUUUUGCAAGAUCAGGCUUGCAGAUCAGUUUACGGUGGUUGAGAUGGAAUGCCGAUUUUAACAAAAUGCAUCACAGAUAACUUGCUCUUAUCGAAGCAACAUACUUGCAAUGCAUUCAAUUGCAAAGAAAAAAAGAAUGCAUUUGAAAUGACAAUAACAUCUACGACUUGUGGAUAGGUAAUGAAAAGAAUUGGGUCAUACUGAAAUUGUCAGAGAUUACUUGAGCAGGCCCUCAAUAUGGUGACUUGACACAAUUAUGAUCAUUCUUGUGUAGCACGAGGUUGUCUCAGAGUGCUGCAUUCUGGGCUUACCUGACAAGGCCUAUGGUGAAGUUGUAUGCGCUAUAAUCGUGCCUCAGCCAGAUGCAAGGAGAAGGUCAGAGCAAGAACUGAAACCGGCUAUUAGCUUAGAGGAACUGCAGAAUUGGUCCAAGGAGAAACUAGCUCCAUACAAGGUUAUUCUUCAGAAUAUUUCUCAUAUCUAUAUGCAUCUCUUUGAUUUUGCACCUCUGUUAGUGCUGUGCAGUAAAUAAGGCCUUGCACAUAUAAGAUCCAUUUCUUAUUGGUGAAUAUUUAAUUGCAAUUUUCAGAUUCCAACAAAAUUGUUCUUAUGGGAUUCCCUUCCUCGAAAUGCCAUGGGAAAGGUGAGAUAUAUUCUGUCAGAUUCUUGAUUUCUACAUCUACAUAUCAAUUUUCCCUGCUGUCAAACUCACUGCAUUUUCUAUUUCAGGUGAACAAAAAGGCGCUGAAAAAAUUACUAGAAGGAUAGUGAUGAUGAUGUUUCUAGGGUCAUAGUCUGGAGGCUACAAUUUUGGUCAGAUAUGCUUGUAAAAGAAAUAUAGCUAUAAAUACAGUUAAAUAGUUAAUUGCCCAUCCGCUUGGUUUAACUUGAUAGGAAAAUCAUUUUUUUAUGAAGAAGAAAUUUAUAAUAAAAAAUUUUAUAAGCAAUGCCCUUUUUUUAUUGUACUUGCUUCAGUUCACUUAAGAAUAUCAAUUCAUUUCAAACUUAAGGUAACCAUUAGGAGGAUGGUUUUGCCUACCUUGCCAAAGUAUUAUGCACAAGCAAAGAAAGCUCGACAAAUAGACUGCAAUUUAUUGGAUAUGAUCAACCGUUUGGGGAACAAUGCAGUGACUACCAAUUGCAGUUCAAUGCGCACGCUGGCACAAGGCAUGCGCCAUCAACUACUGCUGGAUUUUAUCCGGUUGAUUCCAUUUUAAACUUAAGUUGUUGCAGAAAAAAAACAACCUAAAACUAAAAUACUUUUUCUUAGAGAGGCCGGAUCAUGGCUUUCACGCAAUCUCAAAGCAUUCUUUCCUCAAUCAUUCACUUAUCUGCACAGAUCUUAAAGUGCUCCAUCAUCUAUUAUUCAUCCGUCUGUAUGGAUCUUAAAGUGCUCUAUCCUCUAUCAUCCAUUCAUCUAUACAGUUCUUAAAGCACUCCAUCCUUUAUCAUCUAUCCAUUUGCACAUAUCUUAAAGUGAUCCAUCCUCUAUCAUUCAUCCGCUUGUAUAGAUCUCAAAGCACUUCGUUUUUCAUCCAUUCUCCUUCACAAAUCUCAAAACAUUCCAUCCUCUAUUAUCUAUCAGCUUGCACCUAAAGCAUGAUAUUACCCAUCAACUUGCAUAGAUCUUUUAUUUAUCUACCUACAUAGAUCUUAAAACGCUUCAUCUUCUAUUAUCCAUCGACUUACACAAAUCUCAAAGCGCUCCAUUCUCUCUCAUGCAUCCACCUAUAUAGAUCUCACUGUUCUAUUUUCUUGGUCAUUUAUCCACUUGCACAAAUACCGAAGCACUCAUCCUUUAUCAUCCAUCCAUCUGCAUAGAUCUCGAAGUGCCCAUCCUCUAUCGUCCAUCCACAUGCACAAACCUCAAUGUGCUCCAUCCUUGAUCAUUCAUCUACUUGCAUAGAUCUCAAAGUGUUCCAUUCUCUAUUUUCCAUCCGCUUGUAUAAAUCUCAAAGCACUAUUCUUUAUCAUUCAUCAAUAUGCACAAAUCUCAAAGCACUCCAUCCUCUGCCAUCCAUCCACCUGCAUAGAUCUCAAAGCGCUACAUCCUCUAUCAUUCAUCCAUGUGCAUAGAUAUUAAAGAACUUCAUCCUCCGUCAUCCAUUCACUAGCAUAGAUCUCAAAGCCAUCCACCCUCUGUCAUCCUUUUGCUUGCAUAAAUUUUAAAGUACUCUGUCAUCUAUUAUUUGUUUGGCUAGAUCUCAAAGCACUCCAUCCUUUAUCAUCCAUUCACCGGCACAGAUCACAAAGCCAACCAUCCUCUAUCAUCCUUCUGCAUGCACAUAUCUUAAAGAUCUCCAUACUCUGUCGUUUAUCUACCUACACAGAUCUCAAAACACUUGAUCUUCUGUCAUCCAUGCACCCGCACAGAUCUCAAAGCAUUCCACCUUUGUCAUCCAUCUGCUUGCAUAGAUUUCAAAGCACUCUAUCCUUUUUCAUCUACUUGCAUAGAUCUCAAAGCACUCCAUCUUCUAUCAUUCAUUCACCUGCAUAGAUCUCAAAGCACUCCAUCCUUUAUCGUUUGUUAGCCUGCAUAGAUCUCAAAGCACUCUAUCCCCAUAUGCCUGUACAAAUCUCAAAUCGCUCCAUUCUCUAUCAUUCAUCCAUUUGCAUAGAUUUCAAAGUACUCCAUCUUGUAUUAUUCAUCCACCUACAUGGAUCUCAAAGCACUCUCUUUCAAUUCAUGCCAAACUAAGAGCCGCUUGCUAAGUUAGUGGGAAAUGCAUUUUUAGAAUUUUAUAAAAGUUUAGUUAUCAGGUGACCCUUGUGAGAUAAUAUUUUGUAAUGGAGAUAGAUGGUUGGCUUAUCUUGCCAUAAAUUUGAUGUUUUGCUGGCUAAUUUACACAUUUUAAGCUUUUAGGGUCUAAGUGUAAAUGGCUCAAACUUGGAGGGGUGUCUCUUUAAUUUUUCUAAGUUUUUAGUGAUUAAUAGGUAAUUAAGUUUUUAGUGAUUAAUAGGUAAUUUUACUUCAACGUUACAAAUUGGAUGCAUCAAUUACUAUCAAUUUUACGUCACGUUAAUAAUAUAACGUCCAAUAAGGGACUUAAAAAUUAACAUAAAUUAAGGUGAAGUCGUCAAACAAUUGAUAGACUUUACAUAAAGUUUGCAACUUGCGGACCUCAGUCGGACAUUGGAGUUGGACGCCAUCGCGUGAACCCUAUCGCUUCCGACCUAUCAUAUUUGGUUAGUGUUAUAGUUACGGUUAGGGUUGUUCAUACUUUAUUGUGCCCCACAAGAAAGUCAAAACCACCAGAGAAGGUAUAAACAUAAACCAUUCAUAGAGACUUGACCAUUGCAGAAAAGUACAAAAAAACUUUUUUCUAUAUAUUUAUCAGAAAACAAUAGAAAAUUCAUUGAUAACAAAAAAAGAAAAGGUGCCACAGAAUGUCACAACCCAGGACCUCACCCAAAAAAGCUAGUUGGGAGGUAUUUUUUUUGGUUCCUUAGUCCUAUAUAAGUACUCAAGAUCAUUCCGGCGAAUAACCGAUGUACUACUAAACACACACUUGCAUGGGUCCUCACAUAUUUCUCCAGUUUAAGCUCUGACGUCCCUGAUCGGCAUAUGGUCAGUCUCAAUGAGCUCAUGCUGCAGUGUCCCCCAGUCCACAUGGGCCAUGGGCCGGAUCCGCUCUGAAACCAUUUGUAACAACCCAGGACCUCAUCCAAAUGGAUAGCCAAAAUGUAUUAUUUGGAUUCCUUAGUCCUGUAUAAGUACUCGAGAUCUUUUCGAUGAAUAACCGAUAUGGGACUAAACACAUAUCUCAUGGUUUUCACACACAAGAUAUGGAAAAGGGGCGAAAAGGCAAUGUAAUCCCCUUCUCAGUUGCCGAACCCCAUCUACGGUAGUGUCGAUGAGUCUUAAAAGCUGGCGGACACCUGCACUCGGUGCUCAUAUAGGCUUUUGCUCUCCCAUAAUGGAAACAGGCAGAAGACAAAGGAGUCUAGUUUUAGGUAUGGAUGGCAUGGGACAUAUUAGAAGAGAUCUAGAGUUACAGGAUCGAAUGAUGUCAAGAAUAGCAAGAGCCCAAGGAGGAGGAAAAUUUGGCUUCCACAUCUGUUUUUUUGCUGAUGAGCUAUUCGCAUUGGAGAUAAUGAUUCCCAAUCUUGUGCCUUUAUAGGCAAAUUCUCACCACAUAUUCUAGAACAGUUUGAACUCAUAUUAAUGAACCGAAGGUUCGCGACGAUGCAUCUUUUCUAUGUGAGAAAGGAAUCGCAUUCAUGGAUUUUGGUAGUGGGAUCUAUCCAUAGAACCAUGCAGAUUUGGUAGAUUCGGAUGCAAUCUUGAGCAUAUAUUGGCACCAUAUUUUGAUAGAUUUGCAUAGAUCUAUUUUUGGACAAGUGGAAACUUGUUUCAAUGCAUAUUAAUGAAUCGAAGGUUCGCGAAACAUGAUUUUUCUAUGCAAGAAAGGAAUUUCAUUUAUAGAUUUUUGUCGGAGGUACGGUUAUUUGAAAUCUCAUUAAUGAAUAUUGAAAGGUUCGUGAGAAUGCUUUUUUCUCCUUUGUGACAAAGGAAUGGCAUUUAUGCAGUUUGGUUUGAGGAUAGGUUGAUUCAGAUGACAAUCUUGAGCAUUUAUGAGCACUGCAUUUCGGCAGCUUUGCAUGGUUAACAGUGUAGGUAAUACUUCAUAUACUUGUGCUUUUAUAGUGAAGUCUCUCUGCAAAUUCUAGAUUGUUUGAUCGUGUAUGUGGCGAGUGAAUAGUUGUUUGAAUUCACGUUAAUGAAUUGAAGGUUCAAGAGAACACAUUUUUUCUACAUGACAAAAGAACUGCAUUUAUAGAUUUUGGUUGGUGGGAUUUUUAUUUGAAUUCUUAUUGAUGAAUGGCAGGUUCUCUCGGAUGUGUUUUUCUAUGUGAGAAAAGAAUUAUACAGGUAUAUUUGAGCUGGCCACGAGCUGAUCAUGUACAUUUAAAUCCUUAGCAUGGCAAAGACGCUAGAGCUUAAAUAGGGAAGUAUGUGAUGACUUAUAAUAAAUAGUAUCAGAGCGGAUCCGACCCAUAGCCUAUAUGGGCUAGUCUUUUUGGAAAAACCCAGUUUUUGUUUUGUUUCGAACUGUUUGCCCCGCGUAUCUGGGUCACAACUCCCCACGUAGUAGACUUGACUCUUGACAGCAGAGAAAGUUGGGCAGAUAGCAUUCCAACAGAGUUAAAGCUGAGAACAAGAAACCAUCAGAAACAAACUACACCCAACUACAUGUAGUAGGUGAAUUGAUUUAUCAUAAACAUGACAAGCCCCGUCCUCAUUGUUCUAAAAAAGCAGACCAUCACUGCACAACGGUCGACUCCCUGGAUGACCUAGAGAGCUGCUCUUCUUUCUUCUUCUUCAUCACCCUCCUCUUCCCUAAGCCUAUUCUUUCCCUCCUUGCCAUAAGCCCAACUGCAAACAAGAAAAUAUAAGAAAUCAAUUGCACCCAUGAGCGUAAGGACCCAAUAGUAGUAGUCAUAGUGGCCCCUGUUUAGGUUGGUUGCAAGCCACAUCCCCCUUCCAUUCCUUCCGGUUGUCCUAGUCACGAUCUUCACGACCAGAAGUCCUACCAGAUUGGAAAAUCCUGCCCCCAGUGUCCACAAAGCUACCCCAAAGCUUGCCAUGCUUCUAGGUAGCUCAGCGUAGUAGAACUCGAUCUGCGAGAUGACGCUGAAGGCCUCGGCCAAGCCGGAAAGGCAAUACUGCGGUAUGAGCCACAUUGCCGACAUGCGCACCACCCCAUUCAUGUCGUCCGCCAGCCCUUGCUCGAUUGCUUUUCUCCGCCGGACGGCCUCCACCAUUGCAGCCACCGCCAUUGAUGCAGUUGCUGCUAUUAUACCCAUCCCCAUUCGCUGCUUGAGAGUAAAUGCCCCCGGUUUCCUGGUAAUCUUCUUCAGCACCGGAACGAUGAAACGGUCGUAGCCGGCUGACCAUAUUGUCAGGGUGAGGAUUCCAAACACAGUGAAGGAGCCCGCAGGGAUUUCAAACUUUGAGGAGACGUGUCGAUCCAUUGUUUUCGCCUGCAGCACUGGGAAGCUCUGGUUGAGGACCAAUGGGAUCAUGAUCCCUGAUAACCAUAGGGGAAUCACCCUGAUCACUGACUUGAGACCCUCUACCUGCUCCACAGUGCACAGACUCCAUGGGCUUGAUGCUGAUCCACCAGGUUUUAAGUCCUCUAUUGGAUUUCGCAUAAUGCAUGCUUUGUUAAAGAACCUACAAAAACAAAAAAAAAAAAAUACCAAUGAACAGUACAAAAGGCUGGUAAAUGAAGUUUCUUAAUUAAUUAUGAUACAGCAUGCAAGUGAGGAACUAUUACUAUCGAGUUGUUUUCGAGAGCAAUAAUACUACCAAGUUGUGAUGACCUUACACUUCAAGAAGAGAGGUCCCAUGUUCAAACGUGGAGAGGUACAUCUCCAAGUGUUUGAGAUGAGUAACUCUUCCAUUGUGAGCUCCCACUUAGUAUUCACCCCACGAAGAAAUAAAUAAGUAGAUAAAGAUGAUGAUUUUGGUACCUCAACUUCUCUGAAGGAACCGUGAGUUUGGAGCCAGCCUCGUGAUAAUAACUUGCAUCUGCGGUCUUCGGGGGCAAGACUACACGCCAGUUCUUCACAGUAACGGCAGCCACUUGCACGAACCCGGCUAGCAGACUCUUUUGGCCCUCCACCUUGAUGUAGAGAGAAGAGGCCGCGGCGAAGAAGACUGCAGAUAACAGUAUGAGCACCAGCGGAACAGCGAAGCCUACCUUCCAUCCAAAAUUAUCUUGUAUGGCCACGACGGCAGUUGAUGCCACCAUGAACGAGAAGCCCACGGAUGCAUAAUACCAGUUGAAGUAGGUCUGCAAGAUCUUCUGCUUCUCAGGGCCGUUCAUCCGGCUGAACUGGUCUGCACCAAAGGCUAAAGAACAUGGCAUGAUGCCACCAUCUCCAAUGGCCAGGAAGGCAAAGGCGGAGAACAGGAGGGCAAGCUGGGAUGGGGUUGCGGACUGGCAAGCAAGGUCACAAGCAGGGGGCCUUGCUCCUGGCAGCAUUGCAGUCAGCCAAAUGAGAACAGUCCCCUUACAGAACAACAUGGAUAUAAUUAGUUGUAAAAUAGUAACUCAAUGAAAUGAUCAAGAAGGUAAAUAAGACCAAAGCGUUCCAAUUGCUUGAUGACAUGGCAAUCUCACAAAUUAAAAGGUUAAUCCAAAUGCAAGCUAGCUACUGAGGAGAACUCAAGGAUCAUCUUUGAAGGGGAAAGCAUAGAUGAUGAGAAAGAGAUGAGCAGAUAAAUUGAAGCAUAUGGAUGAUCUGGAUAAUUCAGAUGUAAUUUCUCAUCUGAUUCUGCAUCAUUAACUUCAGAAAUGGCACACAAGGACCCAAUGAAUUAGUAAAGAACACUUUCCUUGGAUUUUUCGUUUAGAGUACUUCAAAUUGCUGGGAAGAGAAUGCUGAAAGAUGUUACAAUACACACAUCAAGAUAGAGUACGAGUCCGAGUCAUCGCUAAAAUGCAAUCUUGACUUCAAACUGUUGAUCCUAUUGUUCAUCAUUUAACUGCUGGUUCUAUUUUCAAAACAUAGCUACAGUAUGUUAGAAUAUAAUUGGCUGCCAAAGGGCAGAAGGUUGCGGUUGCUCGCAGUGAAACAACUAAGUCAGAGGAGACCGAGCGCACACAAAGACUUCUAUGAUUCAGCAUCAUGCUUUUCUUAUAAUACGAGCAAGUAAACUACUUGGAGCUAGAUCGAGGGAACUGGUGGGCUGGAGUUUCUGAAGCAAAAUAUACAAGCAGAUUGGAGCAGGGUUAUGCAGAACAUGUUCCCACUGCAAAGUAUUGCUGAUUAAGGCUGCUGCCAUCCGAAAGAGUGGAUCCUUGGUCUAGUGGGUAAUGUUACUUCUGUUAAAGAGUCCUAAAGGCUUAAUUAUUUUUGUGGGGUCAAUAGACUUGCUACCAGUAUAUGAAGAAAUGGAUGACUUGCUUACAAGCAGGCAUGCGAAUGAUCCAAUCAGUAUCACUCGGAAGCGACCCAAGUAGGAAUCAGAUAGAAAAGCCCCAAGUAUGGGCAGGAAACUUGCACAUGCUCCACGUACGAACAGAACACUCUGCUCGGUUGCUGCAUUCAUGUGGUAUUCAUUUCUGAGGUAUAUCAUCAUAUUCAACAGAACUCCUUGGCCAGAGACUUUUUCAAAGACUUCAUUCGCUGCAAAAGAAGAGAUGGAUACAGUUAUCAUCAAUCGAACACAAUACUUUAUUUAGUUCUAGCAAAAUACCAUAAAAAUUUUAGCCUAGUGCUUUUUGUAGACUAGAUGAUUCAAGGAAGCAUAGAACAGCCCUGCAUAUUGAUUGAGUUGGUGAAGUCCCAGGACAUUGGAUGCCAGUGGCCUAGUUUCAAUUCCGUCCUUACCUCGAUUUCCCCCGGGAUUCUUCCCAUGCUACUUCUAUAAUAAUAGGACCUACUAGCUCAAUGACCAAAAUAGAUGAUUGAAAGCAAUCUAACCACAAGUUACAAAUCAACUGCACCCAUAUUUAUGCACCAGCACAAGAUCACAUCCAUGAACACAAGAAUCCAUGCAUAUUUUGGCCAAGUCCCAAAGCAAGGAAGGUGCUGAGAGCAGGAGUCCAUGCAUGCUGAUACUAAUGGAAAAGGAGGCAUAGGAGAGAUCAUCACCAAUGAUAAAUGGCAUCGUCUUGAGACCACCCUUCUCCCUUGUGUGCUGCUGGCUUUGUUCCUCCUGACCGUGAGAGACUUCCAUCUUUUCCUACAACCCAAUGUGUCGCAGGAAAAAAAUAAAUAAAUAAAGGAUCUCUGAGGAGUAGAACAAGAGGAACAGGUUCAUUGCAAUACAGCUUGCCACACCCUGGUAUUUAUUGUUAGCAUGUCUCCUGAUUUAGAAGACUUGAUGUGGCCCACUUGAUCAAGCUUAUCCCACAUCAAGAUAAACAUCGUUUAAAUAGUUACUUAAUCUAAUCUGAUAAAAAUUAUUUAGAAUUUAUCUUAUCUGAUAGUUUCUGUGAUGGAUGGAAAUUAAUUAGAGAUAAACCUUAAAUAUAUUGAUUCAAGUCCCUAAUCUAUAAAUCUUGAUGGAAACUAAUUAAAAAUAAAUUUUAAAGAUAUUGAUCCGGAUCCCUAAUCUAUGGAUCCAUCACUUUAAGGCACUCAAGUCCUGCAUAAAUUGGAAGCUCCGGAUCUUCUCUUCUUUCUUUUUUUCGCACGUCUCUUCCUCAUCGGGUGCUUAGUCUUCUUUUCUCUCUCAUGUGGUGCGUGCUAAUUUUAAAAAUGCUUAAUCAAGCAUGGCUCGAGAUUAGUAAAAUAUUAAUUAUACUUCAUUAAUUCUUUCGCUGUGCAAAAUGUUCUAUAUUGCAGUAUUAGAUCCUACCUCUGGCUCAUGAUGUUUUGCAUUGUAGAGAAGCCAUGUUAUUUAAACAUGUAUAAGAUUUUUGGCCAGCCGAUGUGGGAUUAAAAUUCUCACCCAUGUAAAAUAAUGAUUACCGUCUUCAUGCGAACACCUUAGGGGGUGUUUGGUAACCCCAACAGGAUCACCAUGGUGAUCUAAGAUCUUCAGUGAUUUGAAUGCUGGGGUGAUUUGAUCCCCAGUGAUCUAAGAUCAAUAUGUUUGGUAGGCCAUAGUCCAGUAAUUAAAAAUUUUUAGGUAUCCAUGAGUAACUUAUUUGGUAUGGUAUGGAGAUCUAAGAUCACUGAUCAUAUAAUACCACAAAUACCCCUAAUAUAUUUUAGAUGGAUUUUUUAUAUAUUUUUAAUUCUCAAGAAUAAAAAAUGUAAGUCAAUAAGCUAAUUCAUAUAAUAGCGCCAUAAUUUUGUCACAUAUUUUACUUCUAGUAGCUCUUAUCAUAUAUUUAUUAAUCAUAUAAAAUAUACUAUAAUAAAAUAUUAAUAUAUUUAUCAAUAUAUUAAUUAUUAAUAUAUUCAAUAAAAAUAUAUUUAUUAUUUCUAUAAAUCAUGAAUAAAAUAAAUAAAAAUAAUAUAUUAAAUAUUAUCAUUAUAUAAAUAUAAAAUAUAAUAAUAUAUUUCUAUUAUAAUUUAAAAUUAAUAACAUAUUAUAAUAUAGUAAAUAAUAUCAAUAUAAUAUCAUAUGUAUAUUAUGGACAUAAUAAUAUUGAUGGUUCAUUAACAAUUAACCCAAGACGGACUUCCGACCUCGAGCACGGUCAAGUUCGGUACCUGCACUCGCACCAGAAUCCACCUUUAAGAAAUCGCCUACGGGCUUUGUCCGCGCGACUUGCUUAAAAACAAAAUAAGCAUGCAUAGUUUUUGGUUUGGGCGAUGUGGGACUAAACCCAUGCUUUUCUUCCCACCGCCUUUUUUAAAGAAACAGAGGAGGCAGCCAUGGCCACUGCCGCCCAAGGCCGCCAUGGCCGCCGCCUCCCCGGCAGGCGCUGCGGCCCGCCGCCCCGGCGAGCCCGCAGAGGCUGCGACCAGGCGUGGCCGCCUUGGCCGACGCGGGCCGAGGGGAAAAAAGGGAGAGAGAAGGCCACGGCCGCCGCCGGCUCGCAGCGGCGAGGCGCCGUGGUCUCCUCCUCCUGGUGGCCGAAACGGCCGCUAGCCAGGCGCGGCCAUGCGUUUCCGACGGGCCGCGCCACCCUAAAAAAAAGAAAAAGGAGAUGAAGGGGGUCUUCUUCCCACCGUGUCGUCUUCCCGUCGGAGAGAGCGGCGCGGCACCGUGCGCUCACGCCGGCGGCCGCUCGUGGGAGGCCUCUCCGGCCGCAUGGGAGGAGGAGGGAGGAGGCGGCCGCCGCCGCCGGUUUGGCUCCCUCUUCUUCUCCCUCUUUGGAUCGGUUGGGGAAGAAGAUGAAGGACAAGAGGUUUCGGGUUCGGGCUUGAAACCCGAAACGCGAACCCAAAUCCGUUUGGCUAAAAAAAGGAAAGUUUUAUAGUUAAACCCUGCCCUAUGUUAAUUCAAAAAAAGGGGCUUCAGAAAUUUUUAUUUAAUUCCCAGAGGAAAUCUGAAUUACAUAAAGAUUCUUGAAUAUGUUUAAGAGAACCCUGAUAGUAUCUUAUUUACAAAAGGGUCUUCCGAAACUUACAAGUCCUCUAAUAUAUUACAUACAAGUCCUCUAAUAUAUUUAUUUGGUUCCCAUACUCAAAUUUCAUUACAAAACAGUACACUGAUAAUUAUGUAUUGCUUCUGUAAUGAAUUGUAUUGCGUAAAUAAUUAAUUUAGAUGCUUUCUUAUGAUGAAUCAUGAUUAUUUAAAUUGUUCCUAUUUUCAUGGUCAAGAGUAAUACAUGCAAAAGACAUAAAGAUAAUUAAAUUUUUGCAUAUUUGUGGUAACGAGCCAAAGCAUUCUAUAAAUUUUGAAUACUUUAAUUUAGUCAAUAAAAGAUCUUUUAUCACCAUCUCAUGAAAUUGAACACCUACAUCAUAUAUAAUGAUCCGGCCCCAAAGGAAAGCCAUUAUAUAAGGUUAAUGAUGGGAUAAAAUAAUGUUAUUAGUAUGAUAUUUAUGAUGAAAUCUUGUUGGAUAUCUAGUAAAAUUAUCCAUUGAAUAAUAGUGCCUAAGAAAAACUUGUCAAAAAGACAUACGUGCCUAGUGCUCCACCACCGAUUUGGAGCUGAUCCGGCUGUUAUUCUUUGGAUUUUUCAACUAGACAUCUAAAGUUCAUUAACUAUCUUACUUAAUGCAUUAGUUUUAUCAUAAAGGGGUAAAUCCUGUAGAGUUAUUACUUGGGAUAAUUAAGAUGAAUUAUAAUAAUUCAUAUAAAGUACUUAUUCCAUUAAAGCUUUAUUUUGAUACUGUUUUUAAAGAAAAUGUCAUGAUAAUUUGAGAGUAGCCACAUCAUCUUAAAUUAUUAUGAUGUGCAAUUUUGGAUCACGUUCAGAGUCAUGAGACAAAAUUAAGGAAUUAAAUGAUAUCUAAUAUUGCAAUUAAGUCUUAUUGUUUGAGAUAAUUAAAAUGAAUUAUAAUAAUUCAUAUAAAGUUUCUGCUAGGUGAUAAAAUUGGUUAAAUAAUUACUAAUAUUUAUUUUUAUUUAUUUAUUUAUUAGAUCAGAUUAUUUGCCACUCAUUCAUUAUUUUCUUUUUAUUUAUUUUAUUUAGUUAUUUAUUUAUUAUUUAUUUAUUGAAAUAUAUUUAUUUAUUANNNNNNNNNNNNNNNNNNNNUAAAUGAUAUCUAAUAUUGCAAUUAAGUCUUAUUGUUUGAGAUAAUUAAAAUGAAUUAUAAUAAUUCAUAUAAAGUUUCUGCUAGGUGAUAAAAUUGGUUAAAUAAUUACUAAUAUUUAUUUUUAUUUAUUUAUUUAUUAGAUCAGAUUAUUUGCCACUCAUUCAUUAUUUUCUUUUUUAUUUAUUUUAUUUAGUUAUUUAUUUAUUAUUUUAUUUUAUUGAAAUAUAUUUAUUUAUUAUCUUAUUUAUUUAUUUAUUCGUUCAUUCGUAUAUAUAUUUAUUUAUGCAUUUAUUUUUUUCUUUUCUUUUUUUCCUUUUCUUUUUUUCCUUCUCCUUUUUUUUUCCUUUUCUUUUUUUUCUUUCCUUUUCUUUUUUUCUUUUUUUUCUUUUCUUUUUUCUUCUCUGCUUCUCCUUCCUUCCUCUCUUCUCUUAUUUAUUUAUUUUUUUAUUUAAUUUAUUAUUUUAUUUCAUUAAAAUAUAUUUAUUUAUUAUCUUAUUUAUUUAUUUAUUUGUUUAUUUAUAUACAUAUUUAUUUAUGAAUUAUUUAUUUUUUUUCUUCUUUUUUCUUUUUCUUUUUUUUCCUCUUUUUUUUCUUUCCUUUUUUUCUUUUUUUUUCUUUUUUUUUCUUUUCUUUUUUCUUCUCUUCUUCUCCUUCCUUCCUCUCUUCCCUUCUUCUCCUUUCUUAUCCUCCUGCAAGGUCUGCGGCGCCGGAAGAAGGCGAGGCCGGGGCGGCCGUGGGAGGGGGCCUGGGCAUGGUCGGCGGCGGGCCGCGGCGCAGUGAAGCCCCACGACCGACCGCCAUGGGGGCUUCACUGCAGCUCGCCUUUCUGGUCCCACGGCUGGAACGUCGCGGUCCCGUAGAGGGCGGAGGCCCGGCCACCCCAGGCCGAGCCAGGUCGCUCCACAGGCCGGCCGCGUGCCACGGGUGGCAUCGCGACGACCUGCGGAGGGGUCGCUGGCCACAGGUGGUAGCUGGCGUGGUGGCUGCCACCGUGGGCAACCACGAGCUGCCUAAAAAGAGAGUAGAAGAAACAAAGGCGGCGACAUUGAGAGGAAGAAGAAGAUAGAGAGGGAGAGGGACUGAGGGAGGGGGAUGGGUAAGAGAGGAAGAGAUGGCGGGAUGAGAGUUUUGGGAGAAAAAAGUGAGAUUUAAAUGGGAGUAUUUUGGUCAAAAAAACAGUUUUCCGAUAAAGCUGAAACAGCGUUUUCGGAAAGUUCCAAAAUAGAACUUUUUAGAAAAGUUGAAACAGUUUUUCGAAAUUUUUACCAAACACUAUUUUUCAUCUAAAGUAUUUUUGGUGGGCUAGAAAGUACUUUUUAACUCUCGAAAAUGGGACCAGAAAGUCAUUUCCCCUCCAACCCCACGAUGGCUAAGGAAAUUAAUAGUUUGUCCCCUUCCGUCUCCUAUCCAUCACGGAGGUUGACCUGACCUCUCCAACACCAUCGAAAGAGCCCAGGUUUGUUUCUUGCUAUUCCUCCUUCCGUUUAUGUUUCUCUGCCUUCUAUCCUCCAUGCCUCCCCAUCCAUCCUCUUCGUAACCUUUUUCCCGUCUUCUCCUCCUCCUUCCAGUGCAUGCUUCUUCGUCCUCUUUUGCUCUCCCAAAAUUGUACAGGUCAGAGCAAACUCAUAAUUGCAUUCUGGUACAGGUCAUAAUAUGACUGAAAAGCUGUACAUAUUAAUAGUAUUAAUUUUUAGCACCACAGAGGAAAGCAAGAGUAAACAUUGUGACAGUGGUGGGGUUAUGAAACAAUUAAUUGUCGUAAUAAAGGAUGUUCUCAUAGGUUAGGGUAAUCCCAACUCUUUACUUUUUUUAAAAAAAAAAAGGAAAAUAUGUUCUCACGAGAUAAAUCGUGUUCAGCAUUUAAAAAAUUUGUUUGUUUUCCUGGGCUGGCUGUUUGGGGCUGGUGAAAGUGAAUGCACUUCAUUUAUCACACGGAGUCUUCAAACUUAUUCACCUUAUGGUUAACAAUUUUACUGUUGCUCCUAUCAUGAUCAUUUGAAGCUUUAGCAACCAGGGGUACAAACAAGUCAAACUGUUGGCAGGAUAACAUACCCAUGCAUUACAGCAGGCUUUUUUGUAGCUCGACAUAGUAAAAUUUUACGUAAAUUUGUUUCCUUGGAACAUAGUGUAAAACGAAACCAUAUUCGAUGAAAGAUUAUAUAUACCAGCAGUAUAGGAAUAUCAAAACCAAAUUAGAAAGGGUGCUAUUUGCAUUGCGGUUAAACGCUUUUCAUGUGGCUCCACAACAAAGAAAUGUAUUCCAAUAAAUUGAUUCAGAUAUUUCUACAUUCUUAUGAUUUUUCAUUCAUUAACUAUUAUGUCUUUAUUGCUACAUCCGCCAUUGAGCUCAAUAAAGAUGACUUUUGAUGUUAAUCAAAACAUGAACAAUAUUGGUUUUGCAAGUAGCUUAUUAUGAUUGGCAUGAAUAUUUUGAUUACCGAGUGUUUUAAGUCUGCUAUCUAAAAGAACAUAAUUACCUCCUCUUCAUCUCUUCUUCUUCUUCUUCUUCUUCUUCUUCUUCUUCUUCUUUUUUGGUGUUUCUUCCCAAAAAAACACCUCUCCUCUCCUAAGCUCUCCUCUCACCUUUCCUACCAUUUCUCGCCGGUAGAGACCUGGAGAUGAAAUUUUAUCCCCUAUCUUUACUGUGCGUCAAGAGUCGGCAAUAUUAAAUGCAGUGUUAAACUUGUUGCAUUCUUUCCACUUGUCAUUGAAUUUCCAUAGUCCUCUUCCUCCACCUAUCCUCUAUCGUCAUCUUCCUCCUUGUCGUUUGCAAUGCUUGAGGGAUGUGAUCGUCCUCAUUACCCUUGAUUUGUAGUUGAAGAAGCCUCUUGAGAUUGUCCUCAUCAACCUUGUUCUUUCCUAAAGACCCUCGACCAGGAUCAGCUAUGCCAUGCACUCAAGGCCCUCACCGACCUUACCAUUCUCAUGCUCGACAAGGAGGCCAGCAUCAUCCUUAACCACUGCAACCUACUUGCAGCUAUUGUUGGAUGGAAAGGAAAAGACAAUGAUGAGGGAGAAAUCUUUUUCCUAUAAGUUGGCUUCUAGUUUUGUUUCUCAAGAUUGGUUGGUGCGAUGUUCUGCUUUGGCUAUCUUAUUCUUGUAUUUUUUGGAGGUACAGACCUAGGCUUCUUCUUCAAGGGUGCUUCAUAUAUGUCACAUGAUCAUCACAGGAUAGAAUAGGGAACUUUAGGAAACAGAGAUAGACAACAGGACCAUAUUGCACCACUUAAAUAACUUCAAAGAUCGAAUUGAAAUUUUUCAAACUCGAAAAGUACCAAGUGAAAAAAACCCUAAGGAGGUGGUUCCAAUAAUUUUCCCUAUGCAAGAUCUACAAAAGGGAGUAGGAAAGCCCAAGAAAAAAUUUGUGAUGGAUAGGAAAUUGGAGGGGGCUAUAAUAAAACAAUUCCUAACCGGCUAUUUGCUUGGUUUGGAAGAAACAAAAAGGUAAGGAAGGGGUUUGCUAAGAAAAUAUCAAAAUACAAUGACAUAUCUAAUGUCUUCCCUUUUGACUUUCUUUUACCUAGGCAAGGUAGAUGACCUAUCUACCAGCAAAGAAAGUAAAAUAAGAACAGGAGAUAUAUCUAUUCCACUCUCCAAAUAAGCAUGCAUGCCAGCUUGUGGCUUAUGUCACUAAAAUGAAUGCUUUGAACCCAACAUAAAGGUCUGAUUUUUUUUGUUUUUCUUUGAGGAAAAUCAUAAAUGUCUGGUCAGAUGCAAAUGAAUCAAGUUAGGUUCAAUCCACAUAAAACCAGAACCAAAGCUGCUACGCAUCUAGGAUUGGAGUACAACCAAACAAAUUCUAAUCGAAAUUCUGAGUUAGAACUAGCUCCUCUUUUAUAAAGUAUUCUAUGUCCAAUUUAUUUUCUUUGGGUUUUUCCCUAAUUUCCACUCAGCUUCAACCACACAACUAAAAAUUCAGGAACAAUUAAAAAUGCAGGAAGCAAGAGAGAGAGAGAGAGAGAGAGAGAGAGAGNNNNNNNNNNNNNNNNNNNNNNNNNNNNNNNNNNNNNNNNNNNNNNNNNNNNNNNNNNNNNNNNNNNNNNNNNNNNNNNNNNNNNNNNNNNNNNNNNNNNNNNNNNNNNNNNNNNNNNNNNNNNNNNNNAGAGAGAGAGAGAGAGAGAGAGAGAGAGAGAGAGAGAGAGAGGUAACAAGCUUGCAAGGGCCGCUUGGAUCCACAAGGAGAUUCAUUGCAAGCUGCUAAUCCUAAAGCAUGGCCAGAAUGGAACUUACACAAGAGCCAAACCAAAAGCAUGCAAUUCAAAGGACAACGGACAACUCCCCGGACUUGGAGGGCAGCUCUUCCACCAAGUCGUCCUUUUCCCCGAAUCUAUUUUUGCCCUCCUCACCAUACGCCCAGCUACAAACAAAGAAGUAGAAAACAUUAACCACACUCAAUAGAGUAAGGAUCCAAUAGUAGUAGUCGUAGUGGCCCUCGUUUAGGUUGCUAUCAAGCCAGCCAACUCUUCCAUUCCCUGCACUGAUCUUUUUGACAAGCACCACGAUCAAAGCCCCCACCAGGUCCCCAACUCCCCACCCCAGCGAAAGCAGAGCCACCGCAAUACUGGCCAUGGUCUUAGGCAACUCAGAGUAGUAAAAUUCGAUCUGCCCGAUUAUAUUGAAAGCCUCGGAUAAGCCAGUCAGGCAGUACUGCGGCACCAGCCACAUCGCGGACAUGUCGAUCACCGCUUUCUCGUUAUCUGCCACCCCUUGCUCGAUUGCUCUUCUUCGCCGAGUGCGCUCGACGGUGGCUGCGACGGCUGUGGCGGCGCACGACAACACCAGCCCGAUCCCCAUCCGCUGCUUGAGGGUGAGACCGCGAGGCCUUCCGGUGAUAUUCGCCAGGCGAGGGACGAUCAGCCGGUCGUAAAUGGCCACCCAAAGCGUCAAGGUGGUGAUCCCGAACACGACGAAGGAACUUGCAGGGAUCUCAAACCUGGAGCUCAUGUGCCGGUCCAUGCUGUUUGCCUGCAGCGCCGGGAACGAAUGCUGGCUUAUGAUAACUGCUGCCAUGAUUCCGGUCGACCAAAUUGGCAUCACUCGCACCAUCGACUUGAGGUAUUCUACUUGCUCCACAGUGCACAGCUUCCACGGGUCUGCGGCGGCGCCGUCGGGGUUCAAGUCCUUUUCAGGAUUUCUGACGACGCAGGCUUUGUUCAGACACCUGAAAAAAAGUAUUUGAAUUCAAAUCUCGGGUCUAGUAGCAGUGUCAUGAGAUCGCAUGCAAGCUCGAGCUACAAUUCAUAAUGCUUAUACCUUAUAUUUUCAGUGGGAACCAUGAUUUUUGAACCCUUCUCACGAUGAUACCACCAAUCAUCAUCAGCCUCUGAUGGGAAGACUAGUUGCCUAUUUCUGACACUUGCGACGACCACUUGGGCAAGGCCGGUGAGCAUGCUCUUUCUACCCCUCACCUUGACGUAAAGAAAAUAACCAAGCAGGAAGCAGAUGAUAGAUAAUGCCAUGAGCACUACUGGAACACCGAAACCCACUCUCCAUCCCUUCUUAUCUUGUAUAUAGAUGAUGACGGUCACUGCGAUGAUAACGGAUACCCCGACUGAAGCAUAGUACCAGUUGAAGAAGGUCUGCAGGGUCCUCUCAUUCUGAGGGUUGUCCGGCCGGUUGAACUGGUCUGCGCCGAAGGCUAGGGAGCAUGGCCUGAUGCCGCCAGUUCCUACGGAGAUCAGGGCAAAAGCAGAGUAUAAGAGAGCGAGCUGCGAAUGGCUCGGGCUCUGGCACUUGUGGAGAGCAAGGUCACAAGCAGGGGGCUUUGCUCCAGGUAGCUCUGCUGUUAGCCAUAGGAGAACCAUCCCCUACCAAAAGAACAUGAGAAACUAAUGAAUGCUCUGAACUUGCUAUAAAAUUUUAUGAGAAGCGCAUUCAGACUCCGCUGGAGAGGAGGCCUACUGUCCGUAUUGUCGCAAAGCAUUAGAUAGGUAUACUCGUGAUAUAUAUUGAGAAUGUCCCAUUACUGAUCAAUUAUCACUUGUGAAUGAAAUCAAAAACGAAUGAACUCAAAGAUCACAUUAACAAGUGAAAUAUAAUUUACUUACAUUGAGGCAUGCAACUGAUCCAAUUGCUAUCACACGGAAGCGACCCAAGUAAGAAUCAGAAAGGAAAGCCCCAAAAAUGGGUAAGAAAUUUGUUACUGCUCCCCAUAUUAACAGAACAAUAGCGCUAGUUGCAGGGGUCAUGUGAUACUCUUUUGUGAGGUAGAUGGUCAUAUUCGCUGUAAGCCCAAUGCUCGCAACCCUCUCCAAGAUUUCAUUUGCUACAAAAGAAAGGUGCAGAGGAUUAUCAGCAAUUCAACACCUACACCUUCUACAUCUCCCCCUUUUCUCACGCAAACUAUACGAUACAAUCCUUUUGGAAACAUUAUAUGACAUAAUUACGCACUAUAUUGUAAUCAAGAUAGCGAUGGUAAUUAAACCACUCUCUUUUCAAGCAAAAAGACAUCGAGUUUGGCCACAGGACACAAUGAAUUACACUAGAAAUUCAUGUUUGCGUGUGCCUAUAAUCUUUUUUGCUUUUGAUUAAAACGAAAAAAUUUCGAGCUAACUCAAAGAGUGUACUAAGUAAUGAUACCAUUGAAAAGGCAUAUGAAAGAUCAUUACUCAUGAUAAAUGGGAUGGUCUUGAGACCGCCCUUCCUCUUGAGCUGUUGUUCGGACAUCUUCUCCUCGUCCAUGGUGAAUUCCAAUCUUUUCUUACAAGCAAAUUAAGGGUGCAGGAUGAUCUCCUUUUGAAAGAGAAGAGAAGAUGCUGAUCAGCAAAGUUCAAAGUUGGCAAAAUCUCCCACAUUGGCAAAAUCGUCACUCCCAUAUGAAUGGAGACAGAAAGAAAAAUACCAUUGCCGUCUUCAUCAGUUUCAUAAAAUGGUAUUUACUUUAUAUAUUUAUUUUUUUGAUAAGUUUUCCUUAAAAAUGAUUUUUGCAAUUAUUCAUUAAUAAUGAUAAUUGUACUAACGAGCAAAUUAAUGCCAUUAUUUAUUCGAACCGCUGCUCUUUAAAAUAUGAUCUUUCAACUGAUAAGAAAAUUUAAAUUAAAAAUAUGAUAUUAAUUAAAUGAGUAAUGAAAAUGCUAAACAAUCAUCUUCAUGCCAUUGGUCUUAAUAUAUAUAUAUAUUCGCGAUUAACUAUAAAAUUAAGAUUGUAAACAUCAUUAAUUCAGUUUAGAUGAACAAUGAAAAUAAUAAACAAUGAUCAAAUGUUAUGUAACAUUUAGGCACACUGGAAUAGAGUGACGGCUAAAAAAUGACCAAUACGUAACUAUUGACGUGGACAUUCAAAGGGACUUAAUUGUCAACAGCCUUCCUGAUGCUAUCAAAUGAUGUGACCCGGGCUCUCGCUGACACAGACUUUUUGGAUGUACCUGCAUCCGUCGAUCGGUCGUUCCAGAUCCCUGGACGGCUAACGUGCCGACCAACGUGAGCUUAGCGUAGCUUCUCUUAGUUGGUUGCUGCGCUUUUUGUACUUCUGUUUUUGUCUGUGGAAGCAAUAUGAAGUUACGGAAAUAGGAUUUGGUGAAGGGGUAAAUUUGAUUGGCUCAAUUAUGCGAAAUAUUUUGAUUGAGAAUAUUUUUAUUUGCAAAUUACUUGAAACUUCCAGGCAAUGAAUGUUUUUGCUUGUUGGUCUAGAUGAAGUUCUUUCCCCCACUGCUUCUUCUUAUGAGCAUCAAUAUUUUAUGUCUUGAUUAUCAAAUACUUGGUUUGGAGCCAUUUAGAUUCUUUUUCUCGCAUAUGUUUCUCUUCUUCCUUGACAAUGUAACUCAUCUAUGUUGUAAAUAUGAUUAAUCUAAAUAAAAACCGGAUGGAUCUUUUUUCCUCCUUUUACAUCAAAAAAAAGAGAGAAUAUCUUUACUUUAGCCGACUUCAUAGAAAUGUGCGGGUUUGUUAGAUCAUACAUAUGAAUCAAGGUAUAUCAUGUUUGUGCAUCAAAGUUGAUAGGAUUGUCACCUUCUUUUUCCCUCAAUAAGUGUUAGAAAUAUUCACACAAACUAUAUUAUUUACCAUGGAGAAAGUGCACAAGAAAUGUAAUUAUAUCAAUCUUAAUAUUAUCAUUAAGUGAUCCACCAUCCCAUUGUAGCUUUGGAGUUCCCUAGACCAAAGUCAAUUUUGAACAGAUGUGCUGAACAUGUCAAAGUCACUUACACCAAAACAAACACUUGGAACUGCAUAAUUCUGGAUGAAGUGUAAUUCAGGCUUCGAACGUCCAUGGAAACAAAGCAACAAAAAUAUGAAAAAGCUUACUUAUUGAUAUAUUUUUUUUAAAAAAAAAUACUAAUGAAUAGGCACUUACAAUGCAAGUUUCUUUUGUUUUCCCCUAAAAGAAGUACAUAUAUAAAUUAUGUUCCAUGUUAUUUAUUUUUCUAUAUAGUACGAAUUGUGUUAUAUACAAACCAUAAACAAAAACGAAGAACAAGGCUAUGUUUCUUGAUCCCAAAAUAAUAAUCAUGAAUUUCUUUAUAAAAAACUUAUCGAUUUUGAAAGCUAAGAUAUUUUUUAGAAGAUAUUUGUUUGUUAAAAAUAAGAACUUAGAUAAUGCAGGGUGUACAUGAUAGGUUUCGAGCAAUCAAUUAUGUUCUUUUUUUUUCCCUUUUUCUUAAAAGAAAAGAAAGACAAUAGGUACUACUUUAUGAUUUGCUUGAAUAUCCUUUUUUUUUCUUUUCUUUCCUUUAGAAUAAUUGCGGGUAUGCCAUCGAUCAUAUCACAUAAAUGAUUGAAGAAUAUUUUCAAACACUUGGGAAAACACCUCCUAGAGUUCAUCUUGCAACCUCCCAAUGGCAGAGGCCGGCUGCAACCUCUGGGCUAUAACCAUGCAUGUUCACAUAUGGUAAGUCUAAUUCUAUAGACAACAGAUCUGUGAGUUCUUCAUUGCAUGAUGCUUGCUCACACUAUGCAAUUCACAAACUAUUAAUCAAGCUCUGUAUGAAUAUAAAAUAAUACCAAUACUAACAGUGGCCUACCUUUCCUGCUAUCGCUUCAAAUUAAGCAAAUUCAGUGGCAUGCUUGCUACAAAUCAAAGAGAUGAUUGGACUCCUUUCUUGAUUCAGAGAGGUGUGAAACCAUCUCCUGAUGCUUACAUAGCCAGAAUUACACAUACAACAUAGUGUAAGGAAGAGGGUGAAGAAACCAGCCUUUCUGAAUCAUUGAAGUAUAAUUAAGAACCCUGCCAUCCUGAUUUAAAUUAAGUCGAUCGAUGCUCUUCAUUUAGGUGCAUAUAUAGCAUCAAGAGCAAUCGACCUUUGGGUUGGCAGAGCGACCACUCAUGAUAGAAUAUCCACUCAUUAAGCCCGAGCAUGCUGCGGACUCGGCGCAGUCGAUCGAGAACCCCCCACCAAAAGCAGGAGGAGCCCAGUAAUCCGCUCCAUUGUCGCCGCCAACAUGCAAAGUGAAGGAUACUGGAACCAGGCACAAUCCUCUACUCUUCAAGUCCUUUGGUUCAUCAUCAGCAUCCUGAUGCCACAGAUGAUGCAACAAAAAUUUAACAUCUUAAUUUGGUAUCGACGACCAUGGCAAAGAUAUCAUUAACAUGCAAUCAUGGCCAUUGAUUGAUAGAGAAAAAGCUACUUUACAGCUACUCAAUGGUACCUGAUCAGCUGCUCCUCUUCUCUUAAUACAGGUGUCGUGUAACAACUGCUGAAGGGAACAUAGGAAAGAGGGAUUAGGAAUGUAAAGUUGAAAGUUUGUUCCUUCAACACCUUUUGCUGUAAAGAAAGCAGAACACAAAGGGCUGUCAAGUGUAAGGCUAAGUCUGUUUUUUAAGUUGGUCAUGGAUUCAAUGAAGAUUACCUGGCGAGGGUCUUCUGGAAAGAAUUAAUGGCACUUAGAAUGGCAUAAAACAAGUAAGUUCACUUCAGAGCUCAUAAGGAGGAGCUUGACAUGGGCAUGACCUCUUUUUUUAUAUAUAUUUUUGAUGCAAAAGAUGGGGAGACCCAUCAUGCAUGUGUAAACUUUGUAGGAUCAGAGAAAAAAUAGCUUCUUAGCUUCAGUUGGUGAUCCUAGAUGCAUAGAUGUCUGAGAGAGAGAGGGGGGGGAUGGGGCAGGGUAGCAUUGGGAACAGGGAACGAGAAGGGAUGGUGUUUAUAGUUACUUACAGACUCCCUCGUGCUCCUUGUUCCACCACCGAAGUACGGGGAGCUCAGAGCCUGCAUGAAAGGAAGGGAUAAGAAGUGGGUAAGGAGUGCCGUCUCCGAAGCACAAGACGAUACAAGACACCAAUAACUAGAAGUAGAAGAUGAUACAGUAAACAACACUGUUGAGUGUUGGGAAUGUUGCAACUUUAUGCGUGCUCUUAGACAUUCUCAAAACGAUAUCUGUUCCAUUUCAGUUCACACAAUCGCACACGGCACGUACGCACGCACUCACGCGCGUGCACUCACCCAGAGAGAGAGAGAGAGAGAGAGAGAGAGAGANNNNNNNNNNNNNNNNNNNNGAGAGAGAGAGAGGGACCUCAAUUUGACUCUGGAGGAAUCUGAUAUAGCCAAUGGCUUCUAGUAGUACGGAUGCAGUGUCAGUCUGCAAAAAGAGCCAUGUCAGAUCUUUAUUGGAACACCAAAAGAAAAGAGAAUAGGAAAGAAAUAAUUAUAUAAGAUAUGGGAAAGGAAUGAAAAAUUGUUAAUCUAGGUGGUGGUGUUAUCAAGAAGAUCUAAAAUGCCUGUAUCUAUGGGCAAAUGGGAAUACCUUCCCGAAUGGAGAAACUAGCUGAUGAAGAGCUGUGAUCCUAUCUCCUAACUUCUCCUUCCUCACCUGAAAUAAACAAGUGCGAGCCCUUUUAAGUUCAUGAUCUGAAUUGCUAAUUAUAUCGACACCAUAAAGUGGUAUGAGCAUGACACCAGAAAAAGUAGCACACUGUUCAGUGAGAGAGAGAGAGAGAGAGCAUGAAGGAAUAGAUAAAAACCUUGAAAGGUGAUUGUGGUGAGGAGUCUUGAACUCUGGCCUUCUUGAAGGCUGCACCAGUUGUGCUGUUGCACUUGAGAAAGGCAGAAGAAAGAAGGGUGAGGACCCAUCUGUGGAUCUCUGAGAAUCCUACUAAGGAUAACAAUCAACGCACAAGAGAGCAUAAAGUUCCACAAUGAUAGCACUGCAGUCUUACCUAGACAUAUAGCAUAGCCAUUUCUUGAGGAUUAUAUAAAUAUAUAUAGAUACACACAUAGAUAUAUAGAUAAUAGCAUAACCCCAAAUCAAAGGCUAUAUAUCUAUAAGUAAACAUAUAUAAAAUCAGCCCAAUUUCAGUAUGUAUGCAGCCACAAGGCAGCCUCUAAUGCAGCAACACAUAAAACAAUGGCAUGUUCUGAUGAAAAUAAAACAAAGAAAUUGAGCACAAUGAACAGAGAUAACACUGUAAUAAGCAUUUAUUAAAGAAUUAGUAACGAUAUAUAAUUAGCAAAAAAUAAGGAAGUCUUAAGGAAACAUAUGUGAAUUUUCCCCCCUUACCUCGGAUGAAUUCUCUGGUUGGAGAUGCUUUCUUUCUGCCUUGCUGUUUGAGAAGUCCAACACGUUGCUGCUGAAGCUUGUGGCACAAGAACUAGGAGAGGAAGUUGGCAGGACCUGGCUCCAAGGAGACUUAGCUGCCUGAAUCUCCUCACUCCCAUGGCUGUACUCAUAUCCACUCCCAGAGAUCUCUUGUUUUACAUCAACCAUAUGUGUACUUGAUGAUGGGUAUAACAACUGAUCCUCCCAAUUCUCCAUCCUCUUACCUGGGAAAGGAGUGAAGCUGCAACUGUCUUCCUCCUUCAAUACUCCCCUGUAAUUUGUCCAUCAAUUUACUCUAUAUAAGUAACCCGCAGAAGCUAUGUAUCCAGAUAGUAGCAGAAGAUUUGGAGGCAAAAUGAACGAAGAAAAUGAGACAGAGAGAGAGAGAGAGAAUUUUUAAGUUUUGUGAACACUAAGAAAGUUAGUAUACAUAAACCUUGUGAAACCGAAUUAAGUGUUUUCUGAAUUCUCUUUUUUCCCUAUCAGCAUACCAUGUAAAAUUACAUAAAUAUAUACAUGAGUUAACUUGAGCAAUAGAUGGAAUAGUCUUGAUUGAAUUUUCUUUUACAGGAUUUUUUUCUAAAAAAUUACACAAUUAAAGGACAGGAGUUUGGGAGAGAGGGAAGGAUGGGGGAGUGGUUGGUGGGUGGGUGGAUAUUGUUUGUGUGUGUGUGUGUGAUGGAUAGAUAGAUAGAUAGAUAGAUAGAGAGAGAGAGAGAGAGAGAGAGAGAGAGAGAGAGAGAGAGAGAGCAGCAGUUGGCUCCAUGACUCAGGAAGUUCUUGGUUAUCAUGCCACGGGGUCACGGGGAGAAAAUUAGAUGGUUGUGAGUUUAGAGGAAACACCGAAGAAGAUGAUGAUGAGGAGGAGGAGGAGGAGGAGGAGGAGGUGGUGGGGAAAGAGGGUAAAAGAAGAGAGGUCUGUAGAGGAGGUGGCCUCAGGUUACUCAUGUUCCACCAGCUAGGGGUUCCCCCACAUCAUCUGCUGCACUAGAGAGCUCUGAAAAACUCCUCCAUGUUCAGCAAAAAAAAACUCCUCUAUUCAUGACUGAAACUUUGGAAGUCUUUAGAUCUCAAUCCUCUUUCGGCACUUUUCUGCCACUUCUUCCAAGUCAAUGUAUGGAGGCUUUACUUCUUUUGCUUCUUUAGAUGAGUUUUGGGAGAAGAAGGAACAGGCUUUUUGUGGAGAGGAACCUGGUUACAUGGGACGGGGAAGCCUUUUGUUUUAUGUCUCAACCUCUGCUUUCUUUAAUAUUUUUUCCUCGCUAUCCUUUUUCUUUUCUCUGCUUUUUUUUUUUAUCUCUGCUUUUGCUUUAUGACAAAGUGGAAAGAAGAGACGGGAAAGGUCGUGGCAGUGUUUUCGGCCAAAAGGAAUGCUAUUUUUUUUCAUGAGACGGAAGAAUGAUUCUUUCCUACUGCCAAUACAUUCAACGAAAUCAAAAAAUACAAUAUUUCAAAGAGAAGAUGGAACAUCCAAAAAAAAACUCCGAAUAUUCAGCCACAUAAAAAAUAACCCAGUCUACAAUAUUAUUAUUUUUUUUGCUGAAAAGUCUACAAUAUUAUUCACCUCUCAAUAGAUAUAUAUGGUCGUUGUUUGUCUCAUGAUCCACCCAAUCAUAAAAAAUAUUUGUUUAGAAACUAGGGUUAGCUUAGUGUUGGAGAUAGCAAUAUUUUUGCUCUUCUUUAAUUAUUUCUAUGAGGACCCAUGCGGGCAUGUAUUUAGUCCCACAUUAAUUAUUCGUUGGGUAGAUUUUAGGUAUUUAUACAUGAUCAAGAAAUUCAAAUAAUACCUUCUCACUAGCCAUUUUAGGUGAGGUCUUAGGUUGUAAGAAAUAGUAUCAGAGCGGACUCGAUCCAUAACCUAUGUAGAUUAGGGGACACUGUAGCACAGAUCCAUUAGGACUGACUACGGGCCGAUCGUAGUGUUUGUGAUUAGAUUUGAAUUGAUUUGAACUCUUAGCCUAACGAGGACGUCAGAGCUUACAAGGGGGAAGUAUGUGAGAACCCGUGCAGUCGUGUGUUUAGUCCCACAUCGGUUAUUUGCUGAAUAGAUCUUGAGUACUUAUACAGGAUCAAGGAACCCAAAUAUACCUUCCAACUAGUCAUUUUGGGUAAGGUUCUGGAUUGUUACAAUUUCAAUUGAUGAAAAAGGAAUUUAGAAACGACAAGGUCUGAGGCCACACUGGAACAAAUAAAUAAGGUAUCACAUAGUAUUAUACAACAGAGCAUAAUAAAAAUAUAAUAUAUAUUAAUACAUAAAUAUAUGAUAGAGUAUAAUAUUACUAUAAUGUAAUAUAAUAUUAUUAUAAUAUAGUAAUAUAAUAUUGUAUACUAUAGUAUAAUAAUAUAACAUAAUUUGAUAUUAUAUAACAUAACAUAUCAAUAUAUUAUGAUAUAAUGUAAUAUAAUAUUAUAUUAAUAGUAUAAUACAAUAAUAAAAGUAUGAAAUAUUAUAAUUAUUAUCAUUAUAUAUUAAUAUUUUAUUAAUAUAAUAUUUUUAGGAGCUAAGUUUUGGAUUUUCAUUUUCUUUGUUGGGACUCCUGCAGAUUUCUGUAGUACAAAGGGAUAUUUUCUGUAAUUAUAAUAUUUUAUCAUGGGUAUUUUGGUCCAAAAAAAUUUUAUAACUAAAAGUGCUUUUCUGAAGAAGUUCCAUUUUGGAGCUUCUCCAAAGAAGCUAUUUUAGCUUUCUGCCAAAGCUAAAAUACCUUUCCAUUGUUUUAUCAAAAAUCUCUAUUCCAUUCAAAAAUACUUUUGGACGGUCAGAAAGUGCUUUCUGGCCCACCAAAAGCUUUGUCAAAUAGGGCUUAAGCCUGUUAUGUAAAAAGGUAGAGAUCAGGCAAAAACAAAAUCUAUAACUAAGAGUGUAUAUAUUUAUAUUCUGGCUCAUGCUGUAACAAUGCUCAAUUCGAUAGUUAUGAACAAGAUAAAUGGGAUUAUGUCUUAACAGGCUCUACAGGCUCUGGAAAUUGAACCCGAGAAAUGGCAUUUUUAGGUAGCUUAUGGACUGCAGAAGAAAAAGUAUGAGAAUGGCAAAGAAAACUAUCAGAAACGCUAAAUGAAAGUAUGAUGCAGUGUUCUCCUUUUUCACUUUCAUUGUCCUUACUCCUUGGGCUUGAAUAAAAGUUACAUCCCUGCAGUGCUGCUCCUUACACACCAUAUUCAUGCACUCAUUUGCAUGAAUAAGUACUCCUGUAGGUACUCUCUAGCACUCUAUCAACAAAUAAAGAAAUGUUAUAUACGAAUUGCACCUUAUAUUCUCUCAGAAAGAGGUUUUACCCCUCAUAAGACACAAUUCUUUCAGCAAUAAUUUCAUGUUGGCAAGGACCAUGUACCAUUGCAACCAUAGGUUUCCGCCUCAAGUGGAAGUCGUAGGUAGUUUUGUUCAGGACCAUCUAACUAUGUCAGACAAUUAAUGUUUCUUUUUAUUUGAGAAGAAAAAGCCUAAUGGCUGAGGCCCAUAUUACUUAUCAGAAUUUAUUAGAAAUGUUGAAGGGAAAGAGAGCGAUUGUUUAAUAGAUUUAACCAGAUCAUCGCACAAGGGGCACCCACCCAAGUAGAUACCAAUUUUGUUUCAGAGAUUUUCUCUUGUAUUGAGUUUAUUGAGAAGACGAAGCCAAAGGCAACACUUACUGUUAAGGGGAUUCUGAUUUUUCAGGCUAGUUCUCAUUUGAUGCCCUUGGUAUUAAGUAAGUGAUACAUUGUUACAACCCAGGACCUCAUCCAAAAAGGCUAGCCGAAAGGUAUUAUUUAGAUUUCUUGAUCCAAUAUAAGUAUCCAAAAUCCAUCCAACGAAUAACUGAUGUGAGACUAAAUACACGUCCGCACGGAUCAUCACAUACUUCCUCCAUUUAAGCCCCGGCAUCCCUAAUAAUUCAAAUUCAUUCAAAUUUAAUCACAAACACCAUGAUCAGGUCGUAGUUAGCUCAAACAUACCCGUGCUGCAUUAUACUCUAGUCCACAUAGGCCAUAGCCGGGUCCGUUCGGAUAUCAUUUGUCACAACCUAAGACCUUACCCAAAAAAGCUAGCCGGAAAGUAUUAUUUGGAUUCCUUGAUCCAAUAUAAGUACUCAAGAUAUACCCAACAAAUAACCAAUGUCAGACUAAACAUACACCCGCACGGGUCAUCACAUAGAUAGAAGUAGUGAAAUCAUCCAAAGGAGUCAAUUGCCAAUGGAUGCUGUCCAAGUUGUUUCCAACCUGAAAACUAUUCAAAACGACAUGGAGAUAAAUGAGAAUGGUCUCUGAAAUUCCAAGAAUUAGACUUCCUAGAAUAAAAUUUGGACACAGUUCUAGAUUUUAGAUGGCAGGCCUGAAAGUGGUUAGGAAAAGUAACACAAAGAGGAGCAUCAGGGAUUCAGGCAUCUUUCCAAAAGGGCACAUUUAAUCCAUUUCCAAGGACAAACUUAAUUCUGUUCCGAAAAGGUGGAAGGCCACUGAUUACAUCUUUCCAAAUACUGAAGCAUAUGUAUUCAGGUAUCCAAGAAGCUGAGAUCUUGACUUUUUUUGAAGUAGAAGCAGUUGAUGGGGUGUUUCCAAGGCUCAUGAUAAUUAAUGUCAGUAGAUUAACUAUGAAGCACGCCAAGGCCUUGUCAUCAACAAAAGCUUCAUCUUAGUUAUAGUAGCAUGAUAUUGGUAGAUGUUCUCAUGCAGUCAUAUAUUGUAGAGGAUUCAGACAUAGGUAAUGCCGUUAAAUGACAGAUUGCAGUUUGAUUUUUUAUGUCCUAGAAUCCCAACAACUCAUGAUAAGUUAUAUCACUUAUCGAUUAAUUACUAAAUGGAAAAAACCCUUCUUAUAACAUUGGCAUCACCUAUGAAUGAGUUCCAAGGAAAUUUGUGCUGCUGACCACUCUGUCAAAGUUAGAAAGAAUAAAUCACUAGUGAAUUAAAAGAAUAAACUCAGAGAAAAAAAAAUCUUAUUCAACAACCAAAAAUUUAUGACUAUGAGGCCACAUCGCAUUCGUAUAUAUUUAGUUUGAUAUAUAUAAAGUCUUAAUUAUAUAAAAAGGAAGAUAAUUUUGUACAGUCUAAAUGGUGGGAAAUAACGGUCCAUAGUCCAUGGUACUAUGAGAAGUUCACUGUUUCUAGGAUGGCUAAUCUGAUUUCUCUGUUCUUCUCCAGUGGUAGCUUAUUGCAUCUUUUUUAUAUGCCUUCUUAAAGCAAACACUUUCUCUUUUUUUUUUGAUUUUUCAAAAUUACAUUAUUAUCAUAUUUUGAAACAUGUAAGUGCUUGCACUAUGCUCAGAAUUUCCAUAUUCUCUCUCUUUCCAUUACAAGCACAUAAAGUUAGCAAGUCAUACUUUUGACCAUAAGCUACACUUUCCAUGAGUUGGAAUAGAUCAAAUAUGAAGCUUUGAAAGUAUUCUCACUUUGGCCAACCCUUGAUUUUGAGGUUCAUGCUACAACCAACAUACAUAUUAGUAAGUCGAAAAACAAGUUCAGCAAUGGCAUAGACUUUUCGAUGAGAUAGGGCAAUUAUAACGACUACUGAUCUAAAAAUUAUUUUUCAAUCAAAAUAUUAAAAAAUUAAGAACUGAAAUAUCCACUAAAAAAUAACUUGAUCGUUUUGAGAAAACGAUUUAAAUUACUUAAAAUUUGAUAUCAAACAUUAUUGUCACACUUUUGAUUCAAUAGCAUAAGCCAAGGGAUGUGGUAAUUCUCUGCACACACAUAGAGCUUAUCCCCACGAGCAUGCAAAGCCACAACCUGCCAGUAUAAUAAUUGUAAACCAUCCAAGAUAAAACCACUAUGCCAUAAGCUAAAUAUUAAAACAAAUCUACUACUGACCAAUAAAACAACUAAUUCUCCAUGAUUUAACAAGUUGUACAAAAUAACAGUCUUAAGAGGAGGUUCCAAAAGCAAAAGCGAAAGCAGUGGGGUUGGGUCCUCACAAGGUUCAUGAGUCUCUCUCUAAACUCACACUCCAAGCACCACCUGCCAGCUCUUUAGUCUUGACUCUUGACUCUAAAAAAAAGAGAUAAACAAUGAGUUCACAACCUAGUAAGUAACUAUAUAUAAUCAGAGGGAUCAAUUAAGUAGGUACAACAGAAACUUUUAACAAACUAUAAAUGCAUAACAUAAAAUAAUUUAGUUAACAAAGAUAAGAUUUAUACAAUCAAUAUUUCACAAAUAUUUCCAAAGAGAAAUAUAUAUAUAGGCCAUUUUCCCAAAAUACAUAUUUCAUAUUCAACUAUUUUAAAUAAGUGAUUUAUAAAGCAUUUUCCAAAAAAAAAAUUUAUAAGCCAUUAUCUAAAAAAAAACAGUUUCUUCACCUACCCCUGGCUGUGUCAGUUAGUGUUAUAUCAGCUAUGUGCAAUAAUUAGGUCGCUUAUAUUUCUAUGUUAGAGAAAUACAUAUAAGUAUCCUAGCCCUCCUACCUUAAGCAAAAUUAGGUUUAGGGCCACUAUGAGGCUGAGGUCUAUACAUGGCAGAGUAUUAUAUUCAUAAUUGGAGUAUGACAAGUUUCAAGAGGACCGUUAUGCACAUCAUCACUCCAACCACAAAGCCUCAAAAGUCUAUCAACUAUUACAUUCAUCCUGGCAGCAAAAAUAGGUUCAAAACCUACCAUGCACCGUUCGAGAAUUUUUUUUCAAAAAAAAAAAAAAACUGAGAAAGCCAUCCAAGAGAGGAUGACCCUUUAAUUGAUGUAUAAGUAUUUGAAUAUAUCAGUCUUCCAGAACCAUGCCAUUUCAUCCGACAUGUUUCGGCACUAUACUCUUAUCUAAUGAAAAUGAAUCUCUUAGUUAUCUCAUGCAUGUUGGCUAAUACUAAUCAUUCUGAUGAUGGAUUUGAUGUGUUCUAUGGUUUUAAAAGUCUAUCCUCAAAAAAUAAUUGUAGAACUCAAAACCAAGGUCUAAUAAUUGACUGUAGGUGAACAAGGAACAUCAUGGUAGAAAUUGCUAUUUUUAUACUAAUAAGCGAGCAUAACAACUACAAGGGCACAACUUUAGUCACAAAUCCCCUUAGCUUUUUGUACCCAUGGGCCCAUAAACAAAGCGCCGAAGGGUCGAUCCAGAAGUGCGUUAUGAGAGAGGACCAAGAUUCUUUUGGGAGUGAGUGUUUUGGGUCCAUGCACCGCUUAAAAUCUUCGCCACCAACAACUCUUAUCCUCUCUUUUUUUUUCAACCCCUUUUUACUGCAACUCCUUCCAGCCUAAAGACGCCCUCUCCCUUGUCUUCUUCUGCGACUGUCAUAUUCCACACCAUAUUAUGUAGCACUUGUCUCUCUCUCUCUCUCCACCUCGAUCCCCUUUCCCAGUUACUUUGAGAAUUAAAAAUGAAUGCAGGACUCAUAGUUUGCGAGGCUCCAUACAGAUAUAUAUUUAGUUCCAUAUCGAUUAUUCGCUGAGUAGAUCUUAGGUACUUAUAUAUGACUAAAAAAUUUUAAAAAAUAUUUUACGGUUAGCCAUUAUAGAUGAAAUUCUGAGUUGUUAUAAAUAGCAUCAGAACAUAUCCGGUUCAUAAUGUAGACUGGAGGAUACUGCGGCACAGAUUCAUUAGGACUUAUCACAGACCGAUCGUGGCGGCUGAGUAGAUCUUAGAUACUUCUGACUAGCUAUUUUGAGUGGGAUCCUGGAAUGUUAUACGGUUAUUUCAUUAAAUCAAACAUUACUCAUUUCUUGCCUUCCUCCGUUGCUCUCCUCUUUUCUUUUCGUCAUGCAAACAUUACUCAUUUCUUUCCUUCCUCCUUUGCUCUCCUCUUUUCUUUUCCUUAUUCCCUUUGCUCUCUAUGCUGUGACUACUAAUUAGCAUAUUCGAUCGGACGAUACCAUGAAGCAGAGUUCCUUUUCCUUUUAUUUUUCCUUUGCUAGUUGCUACCAGUCUCCAAGCUAGGCUCCUCACCUUUGCCUUGGCUUUCGCUUUGUUUUUUUCCUUUUCUUCCUUUACUUUCUAAUGUCUUUUCUCUCAAAAGCCUCUCGAUUAUUGAAAGGGAUUCUGAUCACUCUUUAGCAAGGAGUCUUUCCUUUUCUUUAUAUAUGGGGCUAAAAGCCAGCACGUAGACAGGGAAGGACUGAAGGAGUGAUCGGCACCAAAGCCCAAAGGUAUCAAGUAUGGUAAACUAUUCCCCAAGUCAUGGUAAAAAAUUCGUAGGAAUCACUGCUGAGAUUACUUCUGACCACCAACACAAAUCCCUGGAUGCUCGUGACCUACUGAUAUGCGAGACCGUGAAGUCCUGACAUGUUUUCAAGCAUCACGUUAUAUAGCAAAACUAGAAAAUCAAAUGGUUAGUUCUUAUUCAUUUCUAGAAACUAGCACUGCCAACUUUCUGCAAAGAAGAGCAUAAUGCCAUCUUUUUCACCGUUCAUUGCUUGCUUGCUCAUUAGGUUCCUCAAAUUACAAUAUAUCUAUAUCUAUAUAAAUAUAUAGAUAUAGAUAUAAUGGCUCCUCUACAAGCUUCUUCGCUUUAUAAACCACCAUCAGUAGUUCCUGCAAAAACCCUACUUAGCCCUACCGAUACCAUGGUGCGUGGUCUCUUUUCUCAAGCAUUAGUACAGCCACAAAGGAUGUGGGUUUGCAUAAUUAUUUUAUAUGCAAGAAAAGUUAGCUGAAUCCUCAAAGAUUUUAUUGGUAGAGUAGUUUGACCAAACACUUAGGAUUUAUUGUAAAUUAUCAUUUCUCCAUGUCCUUGCAAGAGAGCCCCACACUAUGCCCUCAACUCUAUGGAAGGCAAAUAACCUAGAAAUUUGUAUGGACCUGGAAAACUUGAAGCAACAAUUAUGGAGUUUGUUGUCCUAGUAGUCAUUCAUCUAAUGUAUGUAAUGUGGAUUCUUAUGUGCAUUCACAUGCAAAACUUCUGGUAGAUACCUAAACCUUUUGCAACUUGGGCAAUUAUAGCCAAUUAUGGCUGUACCUACCGACAUGCUGCGCGAAAGUAAAUUUCACUAGCUUAACUUAAUUAUUUGCUUUUUUGUCUGGCUCAUAUGGUAAUCGAAACAAUCGGUAUCAAUAUCAAGCAAGCAUGAUGCACUAGGGAACAAUUGAGCAGUUACAACCACUAUAAUUUCGACUUUUUCACUAGAUUUGUAAUUUUGUUUUCGAAGACAAGCAAUAUAAUAUAAUAUGAGUAAUGGUAUGAUGAAACACACUAACAAACCAUUAAUCCAUAUAAUUAGUAACCAAGGGCCACUGUGUGCACAACAAGCCCAGACAGAAACAGUGUUAAGCAAAAAUCAUCAGCAAUGUUGACUUCUGAAGUUUAGUCUGAUAGUAGAAUAAAGCACAAGAAUGUAAACACAAAAAACUCUUUAUCCAACACAAGCUCUCCAAAUGGUCUAGAAAGAAUCAUAAGAGUUUUGUGUGUGGGCGCGCGCGCGCAUAAACUUAAAGCAUUAAAUUGACAAACAUAUGGCUUUUAGAUUGUUGUGAUUUUUUUCUUUUCUUUCUUUUCCUUCUUUUCUGAAAAGCAGAGUUUUGCUGAAGUAAAGUAUUUUUUUUUUUUGGAUGUAAUCAGAAGACUGAAGGAUCGGUGAGCCUGCCUUUCUUCUUUGGUUGGUCAGUUUGCUGGUUUGGUUGUAGUGCUUGUCCAUGUACUCUAAUGACAAAAUUGCGAGUUAUAUAUCCGACAGUUUAACAUUGAUGGAGAUGGUAGUUGUUGUCAAGCUUUCCAAGAAAAUUGAUUGUUUAUCUGUCAGCAAUAAUACAUGGUUUGCGUUGCAACCUUCUUUAAUUACGCCUUCAUGUUUUCCACUAAUCUAACUAAUAAUGAACUCUCUAUCUCUAUCUCUAUCUCUAUCUCUGUCUUUCUGCCUGUGAGUGGCGCCCACAUGCCCCUCCCCACCAAAUUUGUUUCUUGAUUAAGAUAAAUGAUUCUAUCAGACAAAUGGAUAAAUGGUCUUCUUUUCCUCACCCUUAAUCUCAUGUUCAUGUUCUCCAACCUCCUCCAUCUUUGAGCUCUUAAGAUUCUCUUAAUCUCAAAUCGAUGACCGUAUUCAUCUUCUUCCCCUUAUAAUUCCUAAUUCCUCCCCCUUCUCACCGCAAUGAAAUCAAUCUCCUCUACCAUUCAAGUAAAUGAACUUUUCUACCCUUCUAUCACAAUAAAUUUCACUUUCACCAUCAAGUGCAUGGCUAAAUUAACUUGCAAUUCAAGUUCCUGUCCUCCAUGCCUAGUCUUCUAUUAGCCUAAACCAACAAAAGUUAAUGUGUUUGUGAGGACCCGUGUGGGCGUGUGUUUAGUCCCACAUCGGUUAUUUGCUGGGUAGAUCUUGGGNNNNNNNNNNNNNNNNNNNNNNNNNNNNNNNNNNNNNNNNNNNNNNNNNNNNNNNNNNNNNNNNNNNNNNNNNNNNNNNNNNNNNNNNNNNNNNNNNNNNNNNNNNNNNNNNNNNNNNNNNNNNNNNNNNNNNNNNNNNUCCUGGGUUGUUACAGUGUUAAUAUCAAGUUUAAACCAUGCAAUAUUAUAGUACUCCUGCGGUGCAUUUAUCAUGUCCAAACUAGGGAAAUGCUUAUAAGCACAAACCCAUAUUAUUAAGCAAGAGUAUUGCCAUUCAGGACCAGUCUGAGUUUGUCAAGGUGAUUCACAUGAGUUGUUGCAAUUCGCAAGGAGGUAAUGGAUAUUAUGUCUCUUUAAUCCACGUUCGUAAGAGCAUAAGGACUAACUAACAAUCAUAUUUCUAAUAGAAGAAUCCACCCAAGAUUAAGGUCACUGCAUUAUUUACUUAAUAAACUUGGGAUUUCUUGAUGUGCUUCUCCACAUCAAGUAUGGUAGUCAUGCGAUUCGUCAUUCGAGUAUAUUAGAACUUUAGCUAUUUUUCGAUGUCUAACAGGCUAGGCUCAUAAAACCUAACUAGAAUGCUUCUCUUCUAAGCAUGUCAAGGGUCCCCAUACUUGUGUUCCACAUUAGGACCACGUGAAAAUAUAAUCAAUUAAAAAGCUAAUUAGCUAAAGAGAGGACAUCCUUUUUUUGAUUUUUAAAAGGUUAUCGGAUGGGUGCAUGUUCUUUCUUAGAGAAAAUUGACUGAUGCACCUAAGAAAGCGACGUAGGUAAUGGAUUCAGCAACAUCUUUUAUGAAAACUUCAACAAAAUUUAGUAUGCCAACCAAAAAUUAAGAUGAACAAGGAGCAUACAAGGCAAUAACAACCUGAGUUCAUCUUUUCUGUGAAGUAGGUUACAUUAGAAAUCUGCAUGCUAAUGUCUAUCAUAUCAAGAAUGGUGUUUCAUUUUAUUAACGCAUUUUUAAAAAAAAAGAUAUCUCAAUUUUUUUCAUUAUUUUCUUCGUAAAUAUAUCUGAUAAUGAUAACUAUAAUAGUGAAUAUUUUGAGUACAAAUAAACUCGAUUAGGCUAGAUUGGAUAGAUAAGAUCCAUUACCUUUACUGAAAUAAUAGUUUAAGAGAUGAUCCCUCUUAGUGAUAUAUAUGGACGUAGCUAAAAUUUGAGACCUCGUUGUGAGCUGAAUCUUUUUUUUUUCUUUUUACUGAAGCGAAUGUCUUAUACAUGUUGGAUACGAAAUCACUCAAAAACAGUAAAAAAAUAACAAGUUUUGGAAUAUAUCAUAUAAUUCUUUCUUCUCCCGGGAUCUUUUCAAAAGAGUUAGCCAUAUGAGAGCUGACUCUUUUUUGCUAAAAGAAAAAGAAAAGAAAUAAAAAGACAGGGUAGUGCGGAGGGUCAGCCACCCGUGUCGCCACACGUGCAAAAAGGAAGUGAGAGAGCGCAAAAAGCCGGAGAGGCGAGAGGAAUGAAUUAAAAGAUAAUAAUAAAGGAAAAAGAGAAGUUCAAAAAAAGGAGAAAAAAAAAGAAAAGAAAAGAAGGGAUUCCAAUUGGAGGGAGUUGUGGGGCCCGGAGCCCUGGCCGUUUGCAAGAGAGGAACGGUGCAAUGCAGGUGGCCCUCCAGCCGUUUGCAUGAGAGGAACGGUGCAAUGUAAGUGGCCCUCCAUAGAGUAGCCGACCAGUGCGUGGUUCCUGCACCCAAAGACUAGCACGAGUCCAUUCUAUCGUUCCAUUGCACCAUUACUUGUAGACACUUAUUUACCUAUAUUAUAUAUGAUCUUAUACAGCCCAGAAAAAAAAAAAUUGUGACCGUAUGAUACUUAUUCUUACGUGCAAGCUAAUUUUGUUGCAUGCAUCAUGCAUGCGUCGUUCUGAGUCAUCCAUGUCACAGUUUAUUCUUAUCUUCCAUGGGCAUGGACAUGGACACGUAGGAAUGGUGGUUCCAUAUUGUAUUGUACUCUGUGUGCGUGUGUGCGUGUGUGCGUGUGUGUGUGUGUGUGUGAGAGAGAGAGAGAGAGAGAGAGAGGAUCAAAGCACUACUUUUAUCCUUAGUAGGCAUAACUGCUUUCUAGAUCGAGAAAAUGCGAAACAAGAAUCAGUUAUGCCUACUAAGGAUAAAAGUAGUGCUUUGAUCCUAGGGUCAUUGUACCCUAGCAUUUCACCGAUGCUCAUAAACAUAUGUCAGUCUUUUUCUCUAUUUUUUUCAAUUUUAUGAGUAAAUUAAAAUAUUAAAAUAAAAGAUAAAUUGUGCUUUUAAUCUUCCAAAUUUCACUAAUAUCUCUAAAUGACCCUUAUAGUUUAAAAUUUUCUAAUUAGAUCUAUCAAUUUUCAAGUGUGAUUUAAUGUGGUCCUUCCAGCCAAUUCCGACCAAUUUCCAACAUCGGUAAAUUGCAUAUGAUGCACACGUAAUGUUAUUUUCCUUACCGGCACUAAUUUUAGCAUACAUAUGAUAAUAUAUUAUAAUAAAUGAAAUAAUAGUUUUAAUGAUGUGGUAUAUAAAUUGUGAGGACCCGUGCAGGCAUGUAUUUAGUCCUCCAUUGGUUAUUCGCCCAGAAUAUCUUGGGUACUUAUACGGGACUAAGAAAUCCAAGUAAGAUCUUUCGGCUAGCUAUUUUGAGUAAGGUCCUGAAUUGUUAUAUAAAUGAUGAUGUGACAUGCACCCAAUGCAUAUUUAGUAGAAUUUUCCGUUCAAAAUUGUCCGUCAGCACCCGUAUGCCACAUUAUCACCCACAUAGCAUAAAUUAUGUUUUUGGCUUCUUCAAGUUUCACAAAUAUUUUUAAAUAGUCCUUGUAAUUUAAAAACCUUUGAUUUAGUCUCUCGAUUUUCAGCAUAUGGGUAAUGAUAUGGCAAAAUUGAAAAUUUUUGUUAAAUUUUUCUAUGGUACUUUGAAGGGCAUUUUAUUUUUUUUAUUGCUGCCCUAUCUCUAGCCUUCCAAUUCAACAUGGACGGCUUAUAGGGUGGCAGGUCCAGUAAUUAUUUCAAAGUUUAGUUUUUUUUUGGGGGACCUUUUUCCCUCCUCAGCAAACUUGGGAAUCUUCUAGGGUCUGGCCCCUCGCCGGCAUUGCCGCUCCUCACCAUCAUUGCUGCCGGCAUGACAAGAGAUAGAGAGAAGAGGAGGAAGGUUGUGUGAUUGCAAGUUUGACCGGGAGGCAAAUAUGUUUUUGAUCCUUCAAGUUUCACAAAAAAUUUUAAAUAGUCCUUAUAGUUUAAGAACCUCUGAUUAAGUCCUUCGAUUUUUGGCAUAUGGGUAAUGAUGGGGCAGAAUGGAAAAUUUUUGUUGAGUUUUGCCAUGGUGCUUCGAGGGCCAUUUUGGUCUUUUUACCACUGCCCUAUCCCUAACCAUCCAAUUCAAGGUGGAUGACUUGGAAUUAAAAAAAGGUGGCAGGUCUAGUAAUUAUCUCAAAGUUUAGGUACUUUUGCAAUGGACCUUUCUCCCUCAUCGGCCUCGAACUUAGGGUUCUUCUAGGGUUAGAACCCCUCGCCGACGUCAUCGCUGCUCAUCAUGCAUGGCCACCACCGAUGGGAUCAUAAGAGAUAGAGAGAGGAGGAGGAGGAAGACUAUGCCACUGCAAUCUCGAUCGGGAGAAGGCGACAAUGGGUUCAACGGCAGAGGAAGGGCGAGAGCUCGUCGGAGCCGACGUAGCACCACGGCAAAAGCAGAUUGGAGGGAGAAGGACCGCACGCGGAGGAGGAGGGCUUUGGUCAUCACCAGGGGGCUCGAUGGUCGCCAAGGGAAGGGGAGGGGAGCCUUGGUCGUCGCCGAGGUAGAGGAGGAGAAGGAGGAGGAGGGAGGAGCAGCUCGGUCAUCUCUGAGGAUGGAGGAGGAGGGGGCUAGGCAUCGAAGAUAGGGAAGAAGUCGAGGAGGAGGAGAAGAAGAAGGGGAGAAGGCACUACAAACGUGGAAGACAUCGAGGAGGAGGAGGAGGAGGAGGAGGAGGAGGAGGGAGCUGGCUUGUCGUCUCUGCAGACAGAGAAGAGGCCGAGGAGGAGUAGGAGGUGGUGGAGGAGGAGGACCGGGGGGAUUGGGUGUGCUGCUGGAAACUGGGCCCGGGGGUGACUGCAGCCCAAAGAGGAGGAGCUCUCGCAGGGGAUGCGGCAAUGGGCUACACUCUCCGGAGGACCUGCAAGAAGCCGGUGGCCGGAGGUUUCGGCAUUGGCCCUCAAAUGCUUAAGUUAGAGAGGUUUUUUGUGGAGAAAAGAGAGAAUGCGUGAGAGAAAAAUCCUCCUCUCUUAAAAGGAAGAAUCCCCUUUUAUAAGAGGGAUGCAAGUAUUACCUGUAACUGGACGUGACUGUAAGAAUUAAUGAGUUACCGUAAUGAUUUGACGUAAUCGUGUGAAUUAAUGAGUUACCGUGAAUGGCCCGAGAUUUUGGGCUGGCUGGAGGUCCGUUGAGAUCGUGCGCAUUUAAUCGUUGACAGUCGCUGGGGCGGAAAUUUCGGGAUUGGAUUCCGGAUGAGGAGGAGAAGGAUUUGAUUUCGGAGUAGAGGGGUCUGCUUCAUCCUUUGACUGGGUCUCUGUUGGGGCUUAAGGUCGAUCGGACUCAGCUUAAUUUAAGACUAAGGCUGUAAGGCUGCGAGCUCUGAGGUCGGGCAUCUCGAGGUCGGGCACUUUGAAGUCGAGCGCCUUGAGGUCGGGCACCCUGAGGAUUGUUGUCGUUGCACUCGUCAUCACGUGCCGGCGAUAUAUCCACAUUUUUUGGGUAAUCCAUUUUUCUCCUAACAGGGUCAUCAGUGGGUCCUUCCAGAAUUGGACGACUACAAUGCCCUACGUUAAAUUACACUUGAAAAUCAAGGAAUCUAAUUAAAGAUUUUUAAACUAUAAGAACAAUUUACGAACAUUGUUGAAGCUUGGAGGACUAAAAUUAUAAUAUACUCUAAAAGAAAAAAUAAGUUGAACUCAUGCAUGGUUGAGGUUCUAAUCAUGAACACUUAUUAUCAAAACAGCUACAAUAUGCACCACAUCUUCCAUUUUCAAAAAAGGUUUGAAUGACACAUCUAAUUGCCUCACAUGCAACAUGUAGGGCAUUGAAUUCAUAAUAUCUGUUGGAUGUCGUAGCAUGCAGGACAUGGUGUAACAACCCAAAAUCUCAUCCAAAAUGGCUAGUCGGAAAAUAUUAUUUAGAUUCUUUAAUCCGUAUAAGCAUCUAAGAUCUACCCAGCAAAUAACUAACGUAGGACUAAAUAUAUGCCCGCACGAAUUCUCAUAUAUGAAAUGUACCACAAGUGCAAACAGUGACAUACAAGUACACAUCAAGCCUCAUCCCACCUCGUCUGGUCUCUUGGACAACAAUUUGCAUCUUUUUCAUUUGUGACACCACCUAGUAGGUCCAAGAGCUAUUUCAAUCCUAUUUGAAUUGGUCUGCCUGCACAACUGCUAUCUUGUCCCAUGUGGUUGUAUUUUUCUCUCUUCAAUGUUACAAAAUAAACAUUUCAUUUUGAUGAACCUUGCAUGGCAUUGCUUGGAAUUGGCUUGGAACAUAUUAAAAGCCUUCCUGAUAAGAAGCCACCCUGCUUUGGCACAUGAAAAACUGAUCUCCAGUCUCUCUAUUUUCAUUCUUAAGUCAGUUGUCAGGGCUGAACUUCCCCUUGUCGUGGCAUUGAUGUCCUACGAGUGGGACUUUUUCUAGUACCACUUCUGGUCGAGAGACACUGAUCAACAAAUUUUCUUAUGACUGUAAAUGUCAUGCAAGUUGAGAUGCUACCUAUUCUAAUACUUCAUUCUCUUGCUUGUAACUCACCUUGAAACAUGAAGUGUCCAAGCGUCAAGUCAUAUAAAUUGAUGUGAUAUGAAUUAUAUAGGGGGAGAGAGAGAGAGAGAAUAUCCCACUCGAAUAACAAUAUGGAAGUAAGACAAUGAGAAGAAAAUUUAGAAUUCUAAGUCAAAGAAGUCUUUCAUCGUAGAUAAAUCUUAUCUAAAGUGGCAUAGGUCCCCUCUACAUAAUUUUAAUCAACUCUGGGGAAGUGAGUACAAGCUUCUUACGGCCUUCUCACCGAACCUAUUCGUAGUUGGUCCACUUUCUCACCAAAAACAAGAGCGCAUGCUCAUCUUUCUAGUAGAACAGGGAGAGUUCGAAGUCAGAUGACACCUUUGGUAUUGGCCAAAAAGCAUUUCGUUUUCUAGCACUUGAGUGCUAUAUUGACCUCGUUGCAGAGGGCUGCUACUAAAAUCAAAUAACUCUUCCUGAUCUCCUGUUCUUGCUUUAAUCUUUUUCCUGCUUUUAUGCACUGUUGUUCGGUUGUUUCAGUCCUUGGGUCUCGGAUCGAUCUUAUUGGGUUUUAUUCAUCAAGCUAAAUCGAACACGUACGUUGAUCUACGUGUGCAGUAGAUGGCAGAGAUAUUAAUAACACUCUAGGCUUUAUUUCCUCCAAACUUGCUAAGAUCAUGAUUAGAAUUCUACAAGAAGUGCAAUUCUCAAAAAUCUAAAAGAAAAAAAGAAGUAAAAAAUCUACGAAGAGGGUCGACCCCAAUAAAUUGUCCCUGCCAUUUAAUCUUAGCGCCAUGUGGCUCCAAGACUUCGACCCGAUCAAGGAGAAGAAAGAGCUGGAUUAAUGGCAUGAACUGAUCGAGAUUAGAAUUACAAUGGCUUAAUUUAAUGCAUGAAGAGAGGAAUAUGAUGCGACCCUUAAUUUCUUAGCCACGAAGGAUACGUCGAAUACAUAUAAGCCGGCACAAAUUAGGCUAUUAACGGUGGACUUGGUAGUUUCCUGCUAUAUUUCGAUCUUGAAGCCAUUAACAUACAUGCAAGUCACCUCAUGGCAACAAAUGCACACCAUGAGGGCGGUAGAACUCUGCAGCUUCACUGGGCUAUUUACACGCGAAGCAGUCUGUUAGAACCGUAGGCACUGCCAUCUCACUAAAACCUGCAAGUGAUAGUGAAGGCUUAACCAUAGUCUUUAAACUGACCAUCCCAAGUGCCCCCCCGGCAUUCGAUUGCGACUUCGCCCAUACUGAACUCCGCCGUAGGCGAGCCUUGCUGACCUGGCCCACACCGGCCUCCACCAACAAUCCCUCCCAGCAAGCAAGCCCUGCUGACUCAGCCCACACCGACCUUCGCCAACAAUUCCCACCCUACAGCAAGGGAGUUUUUCUUCUUUUUUUUAAUCGCUUAUCCUGGGAAUCGAACUCGUGUCGUUGGCUCUAAUACCACUGUUAGGACCGUAGGCGCUACCAUCUCACUAAAACCCGCAAGUGAUAGUGAAGGCUUAACCAUGGUCUUCAAACCGACCAUCUCAAACACUCCUCCGGCGUUCGAUUGCAACUUGGCCCACACCGGCCUCCGCCGCGGGCGAGUCUUGCUAACUUGGCCCACACCGGCCUCCACCAGCAUAGUCUGUCUUCCUACCAAUAGCUAGCUGUUGCUUCUGGAUUGCGACCUCUCAAGCAUGCGAUAAUGGCGAUUGAGAACCUGAAUAUUAUGGAGAGGGAACCUGCACCGGGUAGCACUCGUCACCUUUAUUAUGGAUGUCGAACAUUACAAAAUACGUAGAAAGAGGAAGCUUUUGUCGAACACCUAAAAAACACCUCCUAAGGUUGAGACAUGGAACCUCCUCUUAAUCUAAGAAGGCUGCAGCCGCUUGACUGCAGUCUUAUUAGCAAAAUUACCUUUGAAAUUUUAAAUGGUUUCUGCUAUUCUCAAAAGAUCUUAGGGGCUGAGGGUCCGUUUCAUAUUGCUUAUGUUUUCUGUUUUCCUUGUCGAAAAUCCGAUAAGAAAAGUAAACUAGGCUGAAGGACAUGUAUGAUGAAACUGUUUUGUUUCUUUAAAUUGUUUGUAAAUUCUGUAGAGCUUUUGGAAUCAAGGAUUUAUUGGCUUCAAAACAGAGUGCAAAUAAAAGUAAAGAGUAGCAUCGAUUUGCUGCAAAAACUAUCUUGAAAUCAAUUUCCAUGCGACAUUUUACUAAUCUGCAGAGAAACAACAAUAAAAAACAGCAAUGAUACCAAACGUGCCCUUAGGAUUUCAGGCUGGUAAAAGCCUCACUUGAUCCUCACCCAUGCGAAUAUAUUUCUCAAAACAGGAGAGUAGGAAAUGCCAAGCAACCAGCACUCAAGUUGCCCAUUUGGGUGAGAGCCCAAACUGAGAGAAACAUGACUGAGUCCUUUCAGCUGAGAGCCAUCCAAGCCUGAAAGGACCUGUAAUUCAUGAGCUUUGGGGUGCGAUAACUGGCCCCAUUUUCCCUAUCUUAAUCUUAAAACAAGGCAAUUUGUACAGAUGCUGCUACAUUUCUCCUUACUCCUCUCAUAAACUAAGGAGAAAUGGAACAACAUUUAUAACAGAUGCUGUUUUUCUGUUUAACUUCAAAAUGAGCAUGCGGCGAAUUGAUAUUUAUCCUCAAGAAGUCAUUACUUAGUUUUUAUGAUUCGAAAUUGUUGGGGACUGCAAAAUCUACGAAUGGAUGUUAGAAAAGGAAUGUGUUGUGGGCCACAUAGAGAGAAGGGACAGCUAUCACCAUUUCCAUAGCAAUACAAGCGAAGGACUCUAUGAAGUUACAAGCUUUAGAAUUUUCCAAAGGAAUUUUAUUUCAACUCCCUUUAAUUUGCUCUCUUUGAUGAUGUAGUUACUGAAAUGUGUUGAUCUGAUGGAUCUUCGUAUCAUGUAUCCUUACAAAAGAAAAGGAGAAAGGAAGGAAGGAAGGAAAAAGAAAGAAAAAAAACAACUCUAACAACAAUGAACACGAAGUAGGCUCGCUGUUCCAUCCAAUUUCUUGAGUUCUGGACUUGCGACCAUGCCUUCGAAUCCUUUCAGACAAGUACUUAAUCCGAAUGGCAUGCUCUUGCUUCUUCCCAGGUUCAGUUGCAAUGCAUCCAUUCAGAGGUGCCACCUCCACUCCAAAAUCAGGUUCUUGGCAUGAUCAAGACUGCGACGAGCCCACAGCUUAGCUUUUAAAGAAACCGGCUCAAGCCAGGGCCUUAGAACCAACAGAGAAUCGAUGAUUCGGCUAAUCACCAUGCAGAGAAUAAGCACCACUCCCAACUGCAAGUUGGCCUUGAAGGCAUGAAUAAGCCAUGAAGCUGAAUGGAGAGUUUCAUAAGCAUCAAUAGAUGUGAUCAUGAAGAGAACAAGAGAGGAUGCAAGCAAGAGGAAUGUUAGGAGAAGGAAAAUACUAAGCAAAAGGAUGCAGAAGACUACAGAGCCAUGGAGAAGGGCAAGGAGGAGAAGGUCUAAGUUGGGCACCAUUGGCUCAAAAGCCAGAGGGAGACGACGACACCGAAAGAGAGAGACGGAUACUAGGAAGGUAUUGUUGGAUGGAGUGAUUUGCACUCAAUUCUUAGAAAAUAAAAGUUUGCUACGAAACUUAUACUUUGAUGUUCUUGGGAAGGUAGAAACCUGCAAUUCUAGACAAAGCAUCCAACCACAUUACACCCUUUUCCGGGCAUCAUUAGUUCAAAAUUAAGUUGGCAUGGCACAGAUUCUGGUUAGCUAAACGUCACCGAUUAGAUUGACAGAAGCAUAAAGUGCUCAUUCCAUUCUGAAAAUGUAUUGUAUGUUUAGAAGACUGAAAAGAAUCUGAGUGCCGUGCGAAUAAUAUUGAAGUGACUCAAUUCACAUUUCCACCUUCACAAGUAAAGACUAGGAAGUACUCUGGAAUUGCUUGGUGAAGAAAAAGAUGUAGUGAGAACAAUUCCAUCCUUCAUAGAAAUUUAUGAUGAGAUUAUUACCAUGCAAGAAAAUAUUUAGCCACUGAAACGAAAGUAUCGAUAGAAUGAACGGUAGUUGCUGAAAUAAAACCCCUUAAUGUAAUCAAAAGAAACUUUAGCUUGUGUCACUUACUACGAGGUCCAUGGAUAGAAUAAUUUUUUGCUCUCUGCGUGGCCGUUCUUAGUGAGGUAAAGAGGUCCUUGGGCACUACAAUUCCAUGCCAGAGUCGUAGGGUUAACUAAAUUUGUGUACCUCCUUCCCACUCCCACUGUGACCACCAAAGAAAUUUCAUUUAUUAGCUACGGAGGGGUUGGAAGAUUGGGACAACCUAGGGAACAGGUAACAUAAUAGCAGCAACAUAAAUUGGCUUGGAGCCUUGGAUUGCUGACAAAGUCUCCGUAGCUUCCGACAAUACUUUGCUAAUUUUUCUCAGUUAAAGCACACGCUUCAGCAAUGAAUGCCAUACAAGUGCACAUGCUUACAUUAAAUAUUUGCAUGGGAUAUUAUCUUCUGCCCUUUCCCCAACAGGGUGCCGUAAAGCCAAAUGAUCCUUUGCUACGACCACGGCAAAACAUGAGGCUACGGAGAGGAAGGUUAGAGACAUGAACCUUGGAAAGGAUUACAGAUGACCCCUAGUGCAUCUUCUUGACUAAAAUGAAUUGCAGUAAACAUCAAUUUCAGCCAAAGAAUGAAGGGAGGAAAGAAACUCUUUAUCGUUAUCAUUUCUUAUUUCAAAACAGAACACUUGCUUUAACACCUACUCCAAGGAUGAGAGAUGCUUGUCAUGAAUAUCAUCUUUGCAAGCAGUCAACCUCUUAAGUUAAUCCAAGAUCUCCAACACUCUUAAUUAUGAGUUCUUCAUUUUGAAGUGAAAAAAAAUCUCUGAUAUCUUUGAUAUCAUGACUCUUUUGGGCUUCUCAUUUCUCAAGCAUUGCAAGAACAUAUUUUUACAUAGCUGAUUGAGGUUUUAGCUCUGCAGAUCAUCAUAUCUCUCUUUAAUCUCCAUUUUUAACACCUCUAUUCCCUCAAGUCCUCGAAUGCAUAACUUGUACUAAGACAAUCCAUUGUCAACUUCUUCUGAGGAGGAUCGCUAAUUGUGGUGGAUGUUGGAUUCUCUGAAAGAACCAUUGUGCCCCUGAGAAAUACAAAUGCUCUUACAACCCCCAUGCUUCUCAUGUACUCCAGGAGAUGAUAUUCAUUUGAUCUUCAUGGCCAUGAUGGGUUCAAGUUCAUAGUAAAAUCAGCGUAUCAAAAAUACAAAGUUGGCAAUUUGUUCAUGGAUGAUGUGUGCGUUCAUCUCUGUCGUCCAAACACAAUCACCAGUACUGUAAUAAAAUAAUAUUAUUGUCAGGCUAAAAAGACUGAUAUCUGAACCUACCUAAUUAGAUCCAUGGUUUGCAUGUUCCCAUCACAAUAGACAGAUUAUACUCUCCACGAGUAUCUGGCUUCAUAGAAGGGAAGACAGUGCAUCAAGCAACUCAGGUUACCGAAACUAAAAUGUCAACUCUCUCUGGUAUAAAAGGAGGAUUAGAAGAGGCGAUGAGGAAUAAUGAGGGCGAAAGGGUUUUGGAAUACCUCACGGUUGACUCGGGGUUGAACUGCAGCACAAGAGCAGACCUGCAACCCAUCCCUGAAAUGGUUUGAUCCAAGUUGCCAGGUCCACAAAACUGAUCUAUAGCAUGACUUCCGCACAUUUACCGGGCAAUUAACACCAGCCAAUCUGAUUUUGAAGUAUGAAAGCAUGAUGCAGGCGACAAAAGCCAAAGGAAAAGGGCACACAUUUAGAUUUUUUACAGUUCAUCACACUGGAGCCACGAAAAACUCAUUGUAAACAGUGAAAGAGGUCAUACAUUGGAUCUCCUCAUUUUAGUACCAACAAAUAAUUUCAGACAACAUCAAAACUGCAAAACUACGAUACAAUGGCCAUUAUCCUCCGAGAAAACUUGAGGCAGGAGGCAGCAUUCCAUUUUAGAUUGUUUGACAUAAAAGGACUUAAUCGCAGACUGUUUCGCUCACAAUAAACGAUAUGCCCCCCCCCCCCCACCCCCAAAAAAAAGGGGUAGUUAAAAAAUAUUAAUCCAAUUGCCAGAUUUUUAUUCUGUUAAACCAAUACCCGAUUUGUCCAAAUCCACAUCUCCCAUUCCUGUGUCUUCCUCCUCUUCUGAAUCAUCGCCAUCAACUUCUUCAUUAGCAGAUCGCAGUUUUGCCAUAUGUUCUGCAAGUAGAUUAUCAUCCCGUUCGCUCACCUACACAAGAAUGAAAGUCCCAAUAUAAAUGCCACAAUGGUAAACAGUCCAAGUACAUGAGAAAAGAGGCUCAAACCUCGUCAAACUUGUCACAAAGGAGACGAGGGGGUGGAGGAGGGCAACAAAUAAAAACUGAUGGUCAAUCUAGCAAAUACCAUUAUGGGAAUUGGUAUGGUGUUUACCACUAGAAUUGGACCAUGCUCCCAAAGAUAAUAUAGUAGCAUAGGAAACGCAUCUUUAGCAGUACAUAUAUACAUACACACACACACACACACAANNNNNNNNNNNNNNNNNNNNNNNNNNNNGUACAUAUAUAAAAGGAAAAAUUUUCCCUAGGGAUGUGGAGGAGAAAAGUAACAAGAAAUUAUUUAGCAGAAAAUUAAUACUCACAGCUCUUGGUGCCUCCUUCACUAUGAGUUUACCCUUGUGACGGUCUAUUUCUUCAGUGCAUGCCUUGAUAGCAUUAUUUAGAAUUGUUAUUCCUUGUUCCUGCCCAUCAAAAAUAUAAUGAGAUAAAUAAGAGCACAAAUGGAUAUGUUUCAGGUCUCUGCCUAUAAUUACACAUUAUACAUCUACUUGUUUAAAAGAAGAUAGAUAUAGGAAAUUAGACAAGGAUUGCAACAAGAGCAGGGUCACAAAGGUCUGAAAACUCAUCUUCAACUUCAGGUUUCGGGCGUGAGACCGUCAAUUUUGCUAAUUUCAGUGGUAUUGACAAUUGUUGCCCACAUUUUGGAGUUUUGAUCAAGGAAGCCAGAAAAAAUAAAUAAGAAAACAAUGGAAAAAUAAAGCAAACUAAGAAAACUUGUAUUGUAAAAUUUGGAGCAUUUUGUGUUUAGAAUCCCUCAGUGUAUGUGCCCAUGUUUUGGAUUGAAAGUAUGAAUUAAAUCUUUUGGGCUUUUCAUAAAGCUUCACUGAUCAUGGAUUUAUAAUUGCAGUUCAUGAGAGCAUUGAUAAUGAGGUUGGUAGAAAGCACCUUGCUUAAUUCACGUGAGUUCUCCAAUCACCCCUACCUUUGAAUCUUGGAAGGCAAUUAACCUAUGCACAUUCACUUUAACCUAAACACAUUUUUAUUCCAAAAUAACUGAGAUGAUCCAAAUAUUUAUCUUCAUUUGAAUCUAUUUUGUUACUUAUUUACCCUAUUUUGUUGCUACAUAUUUACCAGCCAUGGAUAUCCACGUGAGCUCACCAAGACUUUAUAAGCACUACGGAACUUGAAUACUAUUGUCAUCCUACCUUGAAAAAUUCAGAACAACUUGGCAAGCAAAUUAAAGAUUUCUCAAGGAGCAUAUCCAAUAACUAAUCAAAAAUGCUGUUGGAACUAGUUUUAUGCAUCUUGGAACUGAUGUCAGUAAAAAGCUAGUUACUGAUGUCGGUAAAAAGCUAGUUGACAAUGCACGCCUAUUCUUUAAUGUGUAGGACUCAAUUCAUUCAUUUUUUUUAGCCUACAGGUGUUGAAUGAAAUGAUGUAUAAGACCAUUAGCAUUUCUGAUAAAUUUGUCUAUUUUUCUCCUUUUUGGUAUAAAACGCCUGGAGUAAUGAGCUGCAAAACAGUGGGUAGCCAGCCUCCCAGCUUGGUAAGUUGGCAACUUCUGAUUAAUUUGUUGACAAGGGAAAAACCAUAGUUCAAUGGAGCUGCCACUGAAAAUGUCACUACCUCAUCAAUAGGCAGCAGUUUUACCUUGUUUUAUGCACCUCAUUCUUUUAAGGAAGAGUAAUCAAAUGGUCAUCAAAAAAAGCCUUAAAAUCAGACAAUGGAAUUUGACAUAUACGAAGGAAUAUAUAGCCACAAAAAACAGAACUUCGAUGAUCUUCAAAAUAUAUCAGCCAUCAAGAGUUUGCCAAUGACUUCCUUUCCCAAGAAAUUGUUCGCAAAUAGGCUUCCAUGUUUUUCUGGCUUGCUGUCUCAAAAUUAUCAAGUGAAGGCCCGUUUCACCAUUUUAUAUCAUGAGUACAACAACAUGGAGCAUAUUCCACAAAAUUCACAUGGUAAGAAGCAAGAAACCAAAAUUUUAGAAACAGAAUAUCAAAGUAAGGAAUCAUAUUGCAUAUAUUGAUAAACAAUUAGAAAUCAAAGAUUUUUAACUCAGUCACUGCAUCAGAAAGAUUUUCUGAGGACAUUGAAAUUUGUGGAAGACAGAUUAAUAUUUCAAUAUAAAGCUAAAAUGUUUUGCUCUUAUAGUCUCUUGCAUGGUGAGCAUUUCAUGUGGAGCAAACUCAAGAAGUCAUAAGAAAAAAAGACAGAAAAAAGAUCGAUCAUAGAUAAACAUGGUGAGGCAUCGAAAAGUGUUAUUCCCCCUAAAGGAAGCCACCAUGCAGUCCUCCAUCAACAUUAAACCAAGUCAAAGCAAGAGAUUACAUGGCAUGAACAAACACGUGAUUAGAUUUGACUCAUCCGCCAAAACGUCGGGUUCAAUGUUGUGACAAUAAGGUGAAAGAUGAUACACAAAUCUUUAAAAACAUGAAGAGAGAAAAGGAUUCUUUAAACUUCACAUGGACUAGAUCUCCCUCGGCCAUCACAAAUCCUGUCUUUGACAAAGAAUUAAAAAUCAAGCACCUUCACAUUGUUGAAAACAACUAGGUAAAGACCCUGUAAGAACCACAAGAGGCAACUGGUAAUUUAUUGAUCACAUGCUUGUCUAUUCCUAUCUCUCUGUAUUGCAAAAGAUAUCCUCAAUCCAUGUUUACUGGGGGUUAAAGCAUUCUUUAAGAUGCUACAAUUUUUAACAUGGGUUUUUUGUUUAUUACCCUGACAGAAAUCACAAACUCCAGAUCCUUUGCCAAUAAUAGAUUUAUUUAGCAUCCCAAAAAUCACCAUUUCAUCCUGCUUUAUGUUGGUUCAACAUAUUCUCUCUUUUACAUCCACCAUAGGUUUCACUCUACCUCCAACUUAUGCAAUUCAACAAUGUUACUGAAUCUUUUCUUUUUAACUUCCUUUUUGAUUUUUCAACACUUUGGGUUUAAGCAUCCAUUUCCUAUCUUCACCCCUUCAUUGAACAUCUUUUAAAGCAUUGGAAUCCCAUGUUCCUAAACCACUGAAUGCUGUGCAAAUCAUUAGAAUCCCGGAAAUCAGAUAGACACGGUCUAAAUUAUACCCCAUUGCCCCUAGAUGGUCUUAAGAAAAUGUGAUAUCCCAAAAAAAGCCUUGUUUGAGAGACUUAUUUAUCACAGAUUAGAUGGAACCUUCAGCUCAUUUAAUUUAAAACUCAUUCUGAGGUUGCUAUGAGCAUGAUCGAAGCACUGAAUAUUAUUUUAGUUUUUAUAAUGUGGAUUCAACAUUUAUUCUCCUCAAGUUAAUGCUCUUCUUUACUGCAUUCUUUACAUUCAUCUAAUAGUGCCCUUCAUACUCAACUUGUUCGUUCUAUAAAAUUUAUCAAUGCAUUAUGACAUAUUUUCCCAACAAUUUGGGAAUUUAAAUGACCCUCUAAUCCAUCUCUGUCAGGCUUAAAGCCAAAUAAAAUUUCUGAAACAUGUUCCAGACAAGUACAACCACUUCUCAAAAUGGAUUUAUCCACUAAAACUGAGUCCUUUAAAACCUUACAACUUUAAUCAUUUAAUCCUCAUGUUUGCAGACCUAAACUCAUGUCACACCAAGAAUUCGAAAGAUGCAUCUGGUUCUGCGCAGCAAUGAGCAUGAAAAGCUCUAUUUGCUAAAGGAUAUGACGCUAGGUCUGAAUCUUUGUUUCAAAAGUCAACCCAACUUAGGAUGCUAAUGUUGACAUAUCGAGCCUGAGAAGACAUAGUAAUUACAUAGUUACUAAUAUACAAGAUUGUCUGAACUUUGUGAAAAUGGAAGGACAUAAAUUAGCAUAACAUCAUGGCAUGAUACAAAACAAGGAUGCAUUGCAUUUACAAUAAUAUGCAACCCCAACAUACGAUCACAUUGAACAUUCAACAGAAACAUGGGUAGCCAACCUGUUCUAUCUACAAAGUUUUCAUUCACGUUGUAAUACUCACAUAUCAAACAAUAAAGAACAGUUUCACCUUAAAAUCAUCCUAUUAAAUAGCUCUAGUACACCUCCUGUGU
Molecule: long non-coding RNA, 63625 nt
Filed under: Phoenix dactylifera (date palm)
Lineage: Eukaryota; Viridiplantae; Streptophyta; Magnoliopsida; Arecales; Arecaceae
Description: long non-coding RNA (PDAC_LNC002273)
Source: RNAcentral